GUACACAUCUUUCUCUACACCCUCACAUCUGAGUUCAUCUUGUUCUCCCAUUUUGGCAUUGUUGUUUGACACCACUUUUUUUCCCUUCUGUUUGCGUGACUAUUCUGUUCAAAUCUAAUCUGGUGUGCAGUGAAUGUGGUGAUGACAUUCGGGAGGCAGCCGCCGGGAUCAUGUUUGCAGCUGGGAGGUGCGGCGACCUGCCGGAGCUGACGUUUGCACGAACCAUACUGACAAACAAGUUUGGAGGCGAGUUCGCAGAGAUGGCUAAGGAGGGCGCUGGCGUCGUCGACCCCAUGGUAACUAGAACAACAUCCUAUGUUCAUUCAUGGCCCCAUCACAUCCAUACCAGAAACGGUGAGAGCUGGAAUUUACACGGUUGGGUUUGUGCUACCCUUUCAGUUGGUAUGGAAGCUAACUAGCAACAAAGGAGACAUGGAGCUCAAGAAAAAGGUGGUGAAAGAGGUUGCUGCUGAGAACAAUGUGCUAGUGGACUUCUCUGAGCUCCAAGAGGUUGAGCAUGGCGGCAGCGGCAACGUUCCGCACCAUCAUAAUGUCAGCCAUGAAGGCAUAUACCAAACUGACAUGGAUGGAACUUCAGAGCCAUCGCACGACGAGGAUCCAUGUGAUACUUCCAACUCUGAUGGAGCAAGCAAUGGGCAUCCGAAACAAGAGAACACAAGAACUUCGGUGCACACAAGAAGAUGAACUUUCAGAGCAUCCCAGCUCAGAUGCAACAAUCCAGAAUGAGGAAGUGCUAUGUUUAGCUUCCAAACUUACCAAGUUAUGGGUGUGCACAUGCUAAAUCUGUAACUGUAAAGCAACUAACAAUGUCCAAUUAAUUGAGUUAGCAAAACUUUGCGUUUCUUCGUGAACAGACACAGCAGCAGCCACCAGCAAUUAUGAUCUACAUGAUCGCUAAAAAGAGAAGCCCACCUUGCCACGUAAUUUACAUACAACCUAAUACAGGUUCUUGACCAUAGUGCCUGUUAAAAUAUGUGAAAGAUCCCCGCUUCAUGUGGUUUUUAAGCUUUGAAAAUUCUGUGUGUGGCAUAUAUUUGUAAAAUCUACUUUCUUAUGAUGUACAUGUACUUGAUGGAUCAAUAUGAGAUCGCUACAAAUGAUAUUGACAGGUUUAUUAUGCACCGAGAAAAUCACAUGCCACUAAACCAUGUGAUUUAAACUUAAUGUGUUUUAAAAUGAAUGACAUAAAUAAAUGUCUAAGGUGUCCUACCCAAAAUUAAAGGUACUACAUAGGUAAUCAGUAAUCUAGUCCGAAGAAAGCCAUAAGCUAUCUAGGCUGGUUUUAGAUGUACAAAUUAAAUAUAGAUCAUUAAUUUGCGCCACCGAAUGGUGAUCAUGGAGGGCGACAAGGUCACCACAUCUCACCCUCGUCAACGACACACAAAGGGUAAUGUAAGGUCACGAUCUACCACACCACCAUAGACAUACUCGUCGUCGCUCACACACACCAACUAACAACAGUGGGGCGAUGUUAAUGCAAGUGAACUUGAAGGCGGCACGAUGGUGGUACAACGUCGAGCUAAGAGAAAGACAAGAAUACCGUCUACCACCACCGAUUGUCUAGCGCUCGCCACAAUCCUACGCUUUGUGACACCCAACAUGUUGGUUGGUCAUCGAUAGAGGAGAACAUCAAUAACACGGGCGAUGGUUAAGCAGAUCUGCAUCGAGGUCUAGUCGGUGAGUGAGGCCAAUACACAAUAGCUCCAUCAUGACUUUAGCACCUUGUUAUGGAAGGAGGCAGAGAAUACGGAAGAUUUCACAAACCACAUCAUCCAGCGACGCAAACAUCAAGAAGCACAAUGGUCGCGAGCGAGGCCGUCGAGAGCGUUGGCUCCGCAUCACGCGAAGGCUACAAGGGCUAGUAUGGUGAUGGAUAGGCUCCCAACCAUGACCAUGCAAGAGCCGUAAAAAAUGGCCAUUGUGCUAGGGAUUGUCUUAGAAAGCCCAAGGACGAGGCCCACAUCACGCAAAGAGACUUGGAGUCCACGUUGUAGAUGUCAUUAAAGAGGAUGUAUUUGAGCUGCUUAGCAGUAUGAUGAGGAGGAGGCUUAGAGGUGGAGUUGUACGUAGUCACUAUUCAUCCCCAAACGACCACUAUUCUUUUUAUCGUUGUCGUCAACAGGUUAAAGUAUGGAAUUCAUAAAGGUGUAUGUGUACUUAUAAAUAUUUUGUUCUUCGUCUUAGUUUAGUCUUGUCAUAGUUGGAAUUGUAAUACAUUGAGAAACGCAUACUAGUUGGAGGCUACAUCAUUGUGGCUGCUUAGUGGCACUAUCGUGUCUGAGGGAGCACGAGAAGAGGCAGGGACACCAUAUGUGGGAGGAGUACCAUAGGUGGGAGAGAACACAGAAGGAGCACCGUAAGGAGGAGGAUAUAGAUAAGGAGCACCAUACAAGCCAUAUGGAGGAGCGUAUGCGCACGAAAGAUGACACUGUAAGUAAAAGUUUGUGAAGGACGAGCAUCGGUGGAAUGGGGGAUAUGGGGGAGGAGCAUACGGGUAAGAAAAGAGAGUUUGAGGAGUUAGGCUAUGGGGACGAUUGAGAGCACCUAGAGGCACUAGUAAGAAUGUGAUCAUCAGUGACGAUUUUCUAGUGACGCUGGUGACUUCAGUCACAGAUUGAUACAUUUCUAUGACCAAAUUGACAUCUUCGUCAACAAUUACAAGGGACGAAGAUUAGACUUGAAUAUUAAAGACGAAAAUGAAAGGAACGUCAUAGACGAAAAUGAAAGGAACGUCACAGAUUAAUUUGGCUUGAUCGGCUGACGUAAUGAUGAAAUAAAUUGGUCAUAGAUGAGUUUUAGUAAAAAACGGCCCACGUGUACACACCACUUGACGGCGUGGGAUCCUUGGCCUACAUGGGCCGCAGUUUUUUGGGACACAGCCCCCACCUGGCGACGCGGACCCGACCCAGUACGAAGCGGCAGUUAGUUAUUUGGCAAAAAAAGGUGCGCCCGCGGAGCUUCAAACCAGGGACCUGCGACUUGCGUUAAAUCGUUGCUACCACCAGACUAUGCACUUGUUCGUGUAUAUAAAGAAACUAUCCGUCUGUUAACAGGUGUUCCCAUCUUUCGUUAUGUUAACAGGUUUUCCCAGCCGCCAUUCUGCGAUCUGCAUGGUUCGCCUGUUCUGAUUGUUUCCUGCUGCGAUCUGCGCUUCUGCGAUCGGCCGUCAGGUUACGGCACACAACGACGCCGGCGUCUGUCGUCGUCCGCUUGAUCGGCAACUGGGUAGCAUCGUAGCGAACGAGCGAUCUUGUCGCCUGAUCCAUUGAUCCAACUGUGUUGGAAGAACGGCGUCGUCUGCAAACAGCGAGGCAGAGAAGCUUCGGGCGCGGCAAAGCAGCGGCGUCUUGCGCAUAGCUACGACAGGCGUGGACAGAACAGCGGCACGACGGGGAGAAAAGACAAGGUUUGAUGUGUUGUGUUUUUGACAAUAAGGUUCUAUGUGCGUUUGAAUUUUAUUUCAUAUAUGCAUGUGUUUGAUGUGGUUUUCAAUUUUGUUCAAUGUAAUCAUAGUUAUGGAGUUAAUGCAAGUUUUAAUUUAUUGUCAAAAUAGAUGGAUAGAAGAUGGGUUUAUGAGAAACAAUUCACACCUGCAUAUGUGAAAGGAGUUGAAGAGUUCAUGAAUUUUGUUACUGAAAGAUACCCAGAAGACACAGACAUUCGUUGUCCGUGCGUGAAUUGUCUUAAUCAAAGGUUGCGACCUCAGAGUGAAGUAGAAACUCAUAUACACAUUUAUGGAAUGUCAGCUACAUACACGAGGUGGAUUCAUCAUGGGGAGUCGGCAGAUACAGAAGUUGAGGGUAUAGAGGAGGAUGUCGAAGGAUAUGAUAAUGACUUUGGGAUACAUAUGGAUGUGGACAAUGAUGUUUACGAUGAUGAUCAUGGAGUACCUGAGAUGAUCGGUGACUUGUUUGCAGCGGCAGAGGCUGAUGGAGAAGAGCCAAGAUUUACAGGAGUUCUUGGAGAUUCAAAGAAGGCACUUAGUCCGGGUUCUAGCCAUUCAAAAUUUUCUUUUAUGGUGAGGAUGUUGUAUAUGAAGUCUCGUUAUCGAAUCAGCAAUACAGCAUUUUCAGCAAUGAUGAAGCUGAUGUCCGAUGGAUACCCUAACAGUGAGUUGCCAAAAUCAUAUAAUGAGGCCAUGAAAUAUCUUAAAGAAUUGGGCCUUGGAUACGAAAACAUCCAUGUGUGCAAGAACAAUUGUGUGUUGUUUCGGAAUGUUAAUGCUAAAUUGAAUGAGUGCCCAAUAUGCACGGAGUCUAGAUGGAAAGAUGAAACUGGUUCGAAGCGGGUUCCACAUAAGGUUUUGAGGCAUUUUCCACUGUUGCCAAGGUUGAAAAGAAUUUUUGCUUCAAAACAAACUUCAGAGGAAACACAAUGGCACAAGAAAGUGAGGAAGCCAGUCGCCAAUGUGAUGAGCCAUCCAGCUGAUGGGGAAGCGUGGAAGGACUUUGACCGAAAGUACCCAGGUUUUGCAAAUGAUCCGAGGAACCUGAGGCUAGCCUUAGCUACCGAUGGAUUUAAUCCAUUUGGCAACAUGAGUACCCAGUACAAUAUGUGGCCAGUGCUUGUGACACCGCUUAAUCUCCCACCAUGGGAAUGCGUGAAUCCAACAAACUGCUUUAUGUCAUUACUCAUCCCAGGUCCAAGAUGUCCAGGAAAGGAUUUUGAUUUGUUCCUUGAGCCCCUAAUUGAAGAACUGCUGAAGCUAUGGAAGGGUGCCAAGACCUAUGAUGCAUGUACUGGUAGGAAGUUCGACCUUCGUGCUGCUGUACUAUGGUGUAUACAUGAUUAUCCAGCGCUGGCCACGUUAUCUGGGCGAACAACAAAAGGGUAUUAUGCAUGUAUUUAUUGCGACAAGAAUCCGUUGUCUAUGGCAAUAAGGAACAAGUUAUGCUACAUUGGACAUCGUCGUUACCUUAAAAGGACACAUUCAUGGCGGAAUAGCUUGGAUUUCAAUGGUAAGCGUGAAAACAAAGUUGUGCCUGGCAGGUUCACUGUGGAUGAGGUCCUACAAGAGCUAGAGAAGGUGAAAGAUGUCAGGCCAGGGAAGCAGACUGACAUUACUGGAAAUAAAAGGAAGCGUAGUAGUGACGGUCCAAAGAUUUAUAGCCGGAAAUCUGGGUUGUGGCAAUUGCCAUAUUGGAAAGAUUUGAUGCUUCCACAUAAUCUCGAUGUGAUGCACAUAGAGAAAAAUGUAUGUGAAAAUAUUCUUUGCACACUACUUAGUAUACCAGGCAAGUCCAAGGACACACAUAAUGCAAGGCUAGAUUUGUAUGAUAUGGGCAUAAGACCUGAACUGCACUUGCAACAAGAUGGCAACUCGGCCUGCAGGGCUCCACCUGCUCCAUAUGUGUUGGGGAAGGAUCAGAAAGUCGAGUUUUGCAAGUUCCUCAAAGGUAUCAAGUUUCCUGAUGGAUUUGCGGAUAACCUAGCAAGAUACAUAAGUGAAGAUGGUUCAAAGGUGGUUGGAAAACUGAAAACACAUUCUUGCCACAUACUCCUACAGAGAAUCAUAGCCGCUGGCCUUAGAGGACUGGUGAGGAAGGAUGUAUAUGAAGCAAUUGCAGAGCUGGGGACCUUCUUCAGGGAACUAUGUAGUAGAAAUCUACGGAUAGAUGUUGUGCAACGGCUAAAAGGAGAUAUUCCAUUGAUCCUAUGCAAGCUUGAGAAAAUCUUUCCACCUGCCUUCUUUGAUGUCAUGGUGCACUUGAGUGUCCAUCUUCCCGAUGAGGCAAUGCUUAGAGGACCUGUUCAGUAUGGAUGGAUGUACCCAAUAGAAAGGCGACUAGGCACUUUGAAAAAUUUUGUAAGGAACAGGGCUAGGCCGGAAGGAUCAAUUGCUGAGGCAUAUAUGGCAAGUGAUACCUUAACAUUUUGUUCUAGGUACAUGAAGGAUGUUGACACUAGAUUUAACUAGGAUGAUGAUAGUGGUACAGAGAUGCCAUUGCCUAAUGACAUGUCUGUUUUUAAGCAUGGUGCUACUCUUGUUGGAGCUACUAAGACUGAGUACAUUGAUGAUGCUAUCAUGAAUAAGUUAGUUUGGUAUGUGCUACAUAAUGCUGAUGAAGUACAGGAAUAUUUGACGUAAGUUAGUUUGGUAUGUGCUACAUAAUUUAUGUUAUGUUUAUUAAAUUUGAAAAUAUGCUUAUGAAUAAAGUAUGCCAUGCAGUCUGUACAGGGAGGAGCUAUCGCAGCAAGGUGCACGUCCAAAUGAUGUUGAUCGAAUGGUUCAACAAGGAUUUGCAAAGUGGUUUAUGUCCCAUGUAAGUCACUAAACUUUUAUGUUAUAGGUUUACUAAAGUUUUGGGUAUGCAUAUGUAAUUGCUCAGCUGAGUAAUUUUGUUGCAACAGGUUGAGAAGAAGCGUAAUGAGAAUCCAGAAUUGGUUAGCGAAGGACUGUGGGCACUGUCAUGUGGCCCAGCUCGGCGAGUUAAGACUAGUACAGCUUGCAAGAUUAAUGGAGUGCGGUUUAGCACAGUGGAUCAUGAGAAGUUCAUGCAGACACAAAAUAGUGGUGUAAUGACUGAAGGUGAACAUAAUGGGGAGAACAUAGAUUUUUAUGGUGUCCUUAAAGAGGUAAUUGAGUUACAAUAUAACUCGAAUUAUCAAGUUCGUCGGUCGGUGGUUGUAUUUCGAUGCGAUUGAUACAACCAAGUAGGAAAGACUGUGGGCAUUCGAGAUGACAGCCAUUCAAAUCCAUCAAUGUGCAGUCAUUUUGGUACAAGUCCGAUCCUUUUAUCUUGGCAGACCAAGCGAAAAAGAUAUUUUACCUGCAAGACACAACUCCACAAUGUAAAGAUUUCCGAGUUGUGCAGAAAUUUGAACAUAGGAAUAUUUAUGAUGUGGCUGAAAAAUAUGAGGGCAGUAAUGAUGUGCAUCAGGAUGAUUAUUGUUCUGAUACAGAGCAUAUAGUGCAAGAAGGUGAUGAUAAUUAGGUUCUGCACAAUGUUGAAGGUGGAGAAGCCAGUCUAAUUGAAGGCAAUUUAGAGGAACUAAUAAGAAAAAAGAAGGAAGCUGCUAUUAUUCUUGAAGAUAGUGAGGAUGAGGAGGAAGAUGAUACAAUGUUUCAAUAUUUUAAUGAUGGUGGCGACGACAACAAUGAUGACAUGUCCAUAGAAGAUGAAGGUGAGGAUUUCUAGUAUUGAUAGUUGAUUUAUGAAUUGUUUAGUUCAGAUUAGUACAGCAUACUGAAUGUGUGUCUGAAAUUCAGUUAAUGUUUAGAUGAUACAAUGUAUUUUCUGUAUUUUCAGAACUGAAUGUGUGUCUGAAAUACUGAAUUUGGGGUGAACUGAAUGUGUAUUCUGUAUUUUCUGUAUUUUCAGAACUGAACAUCUGAACACUUAAUAUCAGAGAAAAGAUUGCAUGGUUAUUACUGAUACUGCUAAAGGGAGACAUAAAGUGGUAACAGACUAACAGUAAUGGCAAUAUAGUAUAGCUACCUCGGGUAACAGACUAACAGUAAUGGUAUGGCAAUAUGGCAAUAUGGCAACAGACUAAAGUGGUAACAGACUAACAGUAAUGGUAUGGCAAUAUGGCAAUAUGGUAUAGAGAGACAUAAAGUGGUAACAGACUAAAAGAUUGCAUGGUUAUUACUGAACACUUAACAUCCUGCAGAAGGCUUGAUUUAUAUCUCAUUACAUGUUAGCAACAUCGACUGGUUGUAGUUACAUAUUCAUUAAAAUAUAUAACCAACAUCAGAUAUACGCAGAUCAAGAUAGCUUGGUCUCUGGAAGUAAACAAUGUAUAUUAUUAAAUAUUAUUGUGCUUUAUGAAAGAAUGUUGAGGCUGCUCUUGACAUGAAUUAUGUACCUCGACAUCAGAUAUACGCAGAUCAAGUUGGCGAUACAUGUAAAAUUCCAAAGUAAAUGAGGGAUUCUGAAUCUGCAUAUAAUGAACAGCGUUAAAAAGUGGACCAAACUAUGAAAGGCAACAUCAAGUUAUUGAUGCAAUGGAAACAUGACUCACCUUCAAAGCAACCAUUUCAUCCGCAUUACUGUCAACAGUGGCUUUGUAUACUUUAGCAAAAGCACCAGUGCCAGUUGAUCCUUUGAUUUAAUACUUUCUACCACCUUGACACAAGGAAUUGUAGUAGCAGUUUAGAAUCUGAACUUUGAACUUUGGACUGGGCAACUUUGAACUUUGGACUGAGCAGAGUGUACAAUCUGAACUGGGCAGCAAUCUGAACUGGGCAGCAGAGUUUACUCAGAACACCCAGCAAUCUGAACUGGGCACUUUACAAUCUGAAAAUGCAGAAAUCUGAACUGGGAAGUUUACAAUCUGAACUGGGCAUUACUGUCAACAGUUGAUGCUUAACUAUGGACUGGGCAGAUCUUUGAACUGGGCAUAACAAAAAAAUGCAGAAAUCUGAACUGGGAAGUUUACAAUCUGAAAAUGCUAUAAUUUGCCACUGUGAACAGAGAACAGUUUAUGCUUACAUCCUGGACAGAGAACAGUUUAUGCUUCUAAUGAACAAACGUGACUGGUCCAAUGGUAACUCCUUGCUACUGUGCGCUCUGUUACUGGACAGAAACAUGCAGAAAUCUGAACUGGGCGCUCGGUUACAUCCUGGACAGAGAACAGUUUAUGCUUACAUAUAACUGGUCUCUAUUACUAAUGAACAAACGUGACAAGUCCAAUGGUAACUCCUUGCUAUUGUGAACCCUUGCGUCCUGUGUUCGAGCUUGGGAUAGGUAGGUUUUUUUUUGUUUUGUUUACAUUUUUCAAUCAUUUUUGUAUUUUGCUUUUAUUUAUUUACAUGUAUAGCACCAGUUUCUCCAAAUCAUUUCAACCUUUUUUUGGGUGUUGAUGGAGGUGUAUCAUGAUGUUUUGUGCCGGUGCAAUUUUUAGAACUAGUUUAACUAUUAAUGUAAGUAUUUGUUAUUUUACUAAAGAAUAAGUGCUAAAAAACCUUAGGUGGCUAGAAAAAUCUAGAAACUUGCAUGUACACUUCAUUUUGGUGUACAAUGUUGACAAAAAAAUGCAAUUUAUUCUGACAAAGUGGUGACAUACAUCCUACAAAAAUGCAUACAGCCCUCAUAUAAGGCUAAUUACUAAGUGAGAGAUGUUCAUGCUUGUGAUGGAUCUAUACUACCACUUUCUCCAAAUCAUUUUAAACUUUAAUGGCAUGUUUAUUGAACCAACCUAUGAUAUUGUGUGCAGUUAUGCAUUUUUCAGACCUAGUUUACUAACUACUGUAAUUAUUUGUUGUAUUUCGUAAAGAUAUUUGUUACAAUACCAUAACCUAGCUAGAAAAAUCUAAAAACUUGCAUGGACCAUUCAUUUUGGUGUACAAUGUUGACAAAAUAGUUUCAACUCAUUCGGACAAAGUGGUGACACACAUCCUAAGAAAGGCAUACAUCUCUCAUAUAUGGUUAAUUACUAAGUGAGAGAUGUUCAUGCUUGUGAUGGAUCUAUACUACCACUUUCUCCAAACCAUUUUAAACUUUAAUGGCAUGUUUAUUGAACCAACCUAUGAUGUUGUGUGCAGUUAUGCAUUUUUCAGACCUAGUUUACUAAUAACUGUAAUUAUUUGUUGUAUUUCGUAAAGAUAUUUGUUACAAUACCAUAACCUAGCUAGAAAAAUCUAAAAACUUGCAUGGACCAUUCAUUUUGGUGUACAAUGUUGACAAAAUAGUUUCAACAAAUUCGGACAAAGUGGUGACACACAUCCUAAGAAAGGCAUACAUCUCUCAUAUAAGGCUAAUUACUAAGUGAGAGAUGCUAUUGCAAGUGAGAGAUGUAUAGUACCACUAUGUCAAAAAUAUUUCAAAAUAUUAUAACAUGAUCAUAAGCCAAACUAAUGUGUCCAUGAAUAGAUAAUUGCAAAAAAAAACAUAGAGAUAAAUAAAAAACAAAGAAUUAAUAUAAAAUGGUAGGCAAAAAACAAAAAAAGUCUUAUAGUUAGCAGGUCAAACCAUUGAGCUAUGCACAUGUUUUCGAUAUAUACCCAGCGCUAGUAUACUUAAACGCAUUAGCCUCCGCAUUGCCAAACACAUUGGGCGCCAAAAACAUUUUCGCCGUCGUCACUAAAACAGAAUCCGCUCUCAUCCUCUAUCUCCCGCACUCCUCUUAUUUCUCCCCCACUCUUCUUUCUCCCCCACUUCUCCAAACCUAAUCGCCGCCGCCGGGACACGACGGCUGUCGACGACCUGCCCCCUCGACCAGGUACCUCACCGCCACCGCUGGGACGCAUCCGCCGUCGACGACCUGCCCCCUCGACCAGGUACCUCAUCGCCGCCCCCUUACCUCUCAUCGCGUCGAUGAGCUGCGUCGUCGCCGACUUCACUCGCCGCAUCCCGCUCUAUCUCAUUGCCAUCCGCAUUUCUCUCGCCCCUUCCACCUAACACGCCCCAUCCACAUUGCUCUCGCUAACCCCUAAACCCUAACAUCGCUGGAUUUGGGUCAUCGCAGACGACCUUGAUGGUGAACAAAAGGAGGCACAGAAGUCAGAAAGGUCCAACCCCUAAACCCUAACCAUCGCUAGAUUUAGUUUAAUUAUUCAUUCGUUGUUAUCAGAGAUAUUGUAAAUUGAUUUAUGUAAUCAUUGUGCACUGAUACAGUUGUGUUUGGUUCCUUACAUUGUGUUAUAUGCAGUCACAUCCAUGUUUUAGUAGAGAACUUAUGUUUCUAGUACUGGUAGACAAGGUUCAAGAAAGCGCGAUUAGGCGUGCGAUUAGGCGCGGUUAAGCGCUGAGCAGAGGGUCAACGCAUCGCUUACCUACUAAGCGGGCAAUUAAGCGCUGGCCCUGCUUAAUCGUGCCCAUUCGGCAUGUUUAAGGGAUAAGAGGAGGGAGAGGAAGAGGAGGAACACCUCCGGGGUCAAUCCAGCAGGCAGCAAAUCGACGGAUCGACGAGAGAGAGAGCGGACGGACCUACGAUGGCUGCAGGCAGCAGAUUGGUGAGAGAGAGGCGGAGCGGCUUCGCGGUAGAGGUGAAGAUCGCACGAGGGAGGAGAGGCUUCGGGAGAGGGAGCCGGAGAGCGUACGGCACGGAGGAGGAUAGGCUUCGGGAGAGGGAGGCGGAGAGCACAGGGCGGCGGCGCGGGGCGUGGAAGGAGGUAGCAGAGUACUAGGUCAUCACGGGAGAGGGGUUUUGCGUUGAGCCUCCUGGCAGGUGGGCCUAGUGGGCUGCAGACUCAUGAAGAGAGGAGGUGGGGGUUAAGGGCUGCUGCAGGGUGGCCCAAUAUCAUGUAUUUUUUUCUCUUUUUAACAAAAAUGAUUAAGCACGAUUAAUCAUGCUUAAGCAUUUUCACCACCAUACCGCUCGCUCAGCGCUUAGUGCUUUCUUGAACCUUGCUGGUAGAAAGAGAUGAGAAUAUCUUCACUUUUUUUGUUCAUCAGCUUGUGUAAAUCUACAUCGCCUAAUCAAUGUACUAGCUAGUACUUUGAACAUUGUUUAAGCCUGCAUAAAGAUUUCCACAACCAAACAGGGGAAACACUACAGUUAUAGUGCAACCACAAUUAUGAACUUGCACAAUCAUAACCAAGCUUCAUAAUGACUGAAUCUACACAUCUUAUCUAUUUGCUUUUAGUCAAAUCCUUCCCUGCAAAUAGUAGUACCUCUUAGCUUUUAGUAAAAUCCUUUACAUUAUCUAAUACACACAGUAUGCUUGUUCUUAUCUAUCUUGCAAGUAGUUCAACAUGAGCGAACUGCUUAUGAGAGAAGACGGGAUAAACAAGUGGAGGAGAAUAUAAAGAAGAUGCAAGAUUUGGGUCUGAACAAAUAUACUUCUGUUCUAAAUAAUUCUGUCUCACCAUCUGCAUCAACAAAGGGGAAACAUGCAGCAAACAAGAUAAAUAAUAGUUCAGAUUCGGAUUCAUAUGUCUCUUUCUAUCUCAUUGACGAUGAUGAUCAAGGAGAUACUGAUGAUGACAGUGAAUAUUAUGAGCAGCCAAAACCCCUGGCAAUGAAGGUGCUCCUUCUAUCUUCAAAGUAGUGGAUGCCAAAUAGUUGCAUUGCAUUUCAAUGUUUUGAAUCUGGUGUUUAAUAUAUGCUCAUGCUUUUAGAUUCAUCUUCUUUAUUUCAUACCUCUUAAUUAAUAUAUGGUCUUGCUUUUUGUCACACCCGGUUUUAGAAGGCAAACCGAAUGCGAACCAUGUACGUGCCAGGAUCAGUUAUUGACGUACACAGCAGUUACAUAAUAUGGACAUCAUCACACAGUGCUCAAAAUAGUAUUAAUAAGGGAAAUAGUCGAUUACAUCAUACGUCUGAGACGUCCAUAUAGUUCUUACAAUAAAUCAAAGUGCGGAAAAGAAACGUAGAUAACGCGGCCUUCACAGGCAGCCGACUGGGGGUUGCCGCUAACCCACACCUAGAACUCGUCGUAGUCUUGGAACUCCUGGAAGUCUCCUUCCACAGCUUCAUCUUCGCCUGAGCAGUGGUUGCAAUGCUGACAACCUGGGGGGGGUUUGGUGUGUAGAGCAAGGGUGAGUACACAUCAACAUACUCAGCAAGUAUCCUGUUUGGCUGUAGUGGACUAGCUUUAUGUGGGGAUAAGUCAAGCAGUUGCUUUUAGUUGGUCAGAUUAUUAUUUACUAGUAGAAAGCCAAGUUUUAGCAUUAACCCAAGUUAUUAACCCGAUGUACCCUUUCCAAACGGAAAGAAUACCACUUACCAGCACCAUAGUCAUAACCAAAACCAUCAAUCUCAUUGCCACCUGUAAACCAAAAGGUCUCUUAUCAAGUACCACUAAUCACUGGAGCUCCCUUGGCCGCUCAUAACCGCGAGCACGGCUGAUAUAUCAGUUUCAUAACACUCUGCAGAGGUUGUGCACUUUACCCACAAGCCGUGAUUCCCUCUUGCCUCGGGCCGAUCAAACCCUUAAACACUACCAAGGUGAAUAGGCAGGGUUUCACUACGUAGCCUUUACAAAGAUUCCCCGGGGCUGUAGCCACCCGUUAGGUUUCCUAAAUGCACCGCACUCCUCCCCAAGGGGCGAACCCAAACUUGGCAGAGCGAGCCGCAUACACCGAGCCCCAUUGACGGCACAACGGCUAAGUGAACUACACCCCGGAUCCUCUAAUUAUUCAGCUAAGGGCAUCCCAUUCCACCCUCAUGGUUGCACUGUUUUCCCGGGCGGUCAUCCAUAGAACAGGUCCUUACGGAGAGGCACUCGAGAAACCGCUCGAGCCCCCUUGAAUACCACAAGUACAACAUCAUAAUAAGAGAAGGGAAAACAGCGUAUCAUAGAUAAUCUCAUCAUGUUCAUUGAUUAGAGUUGAGCAAUAGCAUAAAGCUAAACAGUAAUAAUCCAACCCAAAUAGGUAAACAAGGACAUGGAUAACAAAAGCUAGUCAAUCCUUAGGUAUAAAGGUGUAAUGCGGGAGGUGAAUUAAAUAAUGAAUAGGACAGAGAUAGGUCAAAGGACACUUGCCUCCACCACCCGACUGCUGCUCAGGGGCUUCUCCUGCGAAUUCCUCGGGCUCUUCGACCGGAUCGUUCUCUAUGCGAUUGCAAACAUACAUACAUCCAUCCACAUUUAAUACAAAAGAACAGUACACCAUACAAGGGAACAAAUAAAGUGAGUAUGCAUCAAGUAUGACAUUCGAUAUCGCAUUUGUUAUGGUUAGAAAGAAACGGGAAAGGGUCUCGCAGGGGGUUAAAUCUUAUGCACUAACGAUCAAUUACAAUUGGUUCUUAACAAAAGAAUUCUGUUACAUAUACACUAAUGGAAACCUAAUCAUUUUAAGUUGAUCAACAUUGCACGAGGUAAACAAUUAACUACAUGAAUCAACUAGCAUAACGGAAUUUUAAAUUAAACUUCCUAUUUCAAUGGCAUGAACAAUGAUUAGCUUACCUAAAAUAAAAUAGCUAUGAUCACAGAAAGUAAAUAAAAUAAAAUAAAAAAAAAUAAAAAAAACAGAGGGGGGGGGGCGGUUGAACCGGCCCUAGGGGCGGUUGAACCGGCCCUGCGCAGGGGGCGCGGCCAGGGCGAGCGGCCGAGGGCGGGCUGGGGGCGGCCGGGACCGGCCAGGGCGCGGCAGCGGCCGGCUGGGCGCGGCCAGGGCGCGCGGCCAGGGGGCGGCAGCGGCCAGCCAGGGCGCGCGGCCAGGGGGCCGGGCGGCUGGGCUGCCAAGGGGAGGGAGGAGGGGAGAGGGGAGAGGGAGGGAGGAGGGAGAGAGGGAGGAGGGGGGGGGCUCACCGGCGGGGGCGGCCGACGGCGGGGAGCGGCGGCCGAGCAGGGGGCGGCGGCGGCUUAGGGCAGGGGGUAGAGGCGGCGGCGGCUUAGGGUGGGGGAGAGAAAAUGAGAGGGAGAGGGAGAGGGUUUGGGGAAAAAAGGGGGGAUGAGGGGGGGCGGCUGGGCCUUUUUGGGCCCAAGAGGGGGCGCCAGGGGCGGCUGGGCCGGCCGGGGUCGGCCCACGGCGCGGGAGAGAGAGAAAAAAAGGAGAGAGAAAGAGAGAGAGAAAAAAGAAAGAAAAGAUCUUCUCCUCAUUUUCGAAAUCCGAUCUUUCUACAUGAAUGCAAUUGCGCUUUCAAAGCAAUCAAAAGAAAUGCAAGGUUCGGCAUGGUGCAUCAAACAACAUAAAGUAUUUAGGGUUUUUCUUACACGGGAAUUCCAAACCGAAUCCCGCUAGAACUUUGGAAAAGGUCAAGGUUUAGCGAAGGGAAAAAGAAAAAGAAAAGGUAACGCCCGAAUUUUGGCGAGUAAAGAAAAGAAAAAAUUCAACUGCAAAAUUCGGGGCGUUACAAACCUAUCCCCCUUAAAAGAAUCUCGCCCUCGAGAUUCAGGGCUGGCUAGCAAAGAGCUCUGGGUACUUGGCCAUCAGAUCAUCUUCACGCUCCCAGGUUGCUUCUUCCUCAGAGUGGUGAUUCCAUCUGACUUUGCACAUUCUGAUGGUCUUCCUUCGGGUGACUCUGUCUGCAAUCUCAAGGAUCUGAGCUGGCUUCUCAACGUAGGUCAAGUCCUCCUGGACCUCAAGACCUUCCACUGGCAACUGCUCUUCCGGCACACGCAAGCACUUCUUCAACUGAGACACAUGAAAGACAUCAUGCACAGCAGACAAAUUCUCUGGCAGGCUGAGCUGAUAAGCCACUUCUCCACGCUUUGAGAGAAUUUGAUACGGACCAAUGUAGCGGGGUGCUAGCUUGCCUUUCACUCCGAAUCUUCUGACUCCUCUGAUCGGUGACACUUUCAGAUAGACAAAAUCUCCGACUUCAAAACUCAGCUCUCUUCUUCUUGUGUCUGCAUAGCUUCGCUGCCUCGAUUGCGCUAUCUUCAGAUUCUCUCGAACCAUCUUGAUGUUCUCUUCGGCUUCAAGCAAAAUGUCUGGCCCAAACACUUGCUUUUCUCCAGGCUGAUCCCAUUGCAACGGAGUUCUGCAACUCCUUCCAUAGAGCGCCUGAAAUGGUGACAUCUUCAAACUGGCCUGGUAACUGUUGUUAUAGGAAAACUCUGCAUAAGGCAAUCGCUUGUCCCAUCCGGACUGAUCUUGCAACGCACAGGCUCUCAACAUGUCUUCAAGAAUUUGAUUGGUUCUUUCAGUCUGACCAUCUGUCUGCGGGUGAUAAGCUGAACUGAAAUUCAGAUGUGUGCCCAAGGCUUCAUGCAACUGCUGCCAGAAAUGAGAGGUGAACUGCGUUCCUCUGUCUGACACUAUCUUCUUUGGCACACCAUGAAGACAAACGAUCCGAGACAUGUACAACUCUGCCAAUACUGCACUGUUGUAGCUGGUCUUGACAGGUAUGAAGUGGGCUGACUUGGUCAAACGGUCCACCACUACCCAAAUAGAAUCGUAGCCGGCUCGAGUGCGAGUCAAUCCGACUAUGAAAUCCAUACCAAUUUCAUCCCAUUUCCACUGAGGGAUCUUCAACGGUUGCAACAAUCCAACAGGUCUCUGGUGCUCUGCCUUAAUUCUUUGGCAACUAUCGCACAUAGCCACAUGCUCUGCGAUUUCCCUCUUCAUUCCAUACCACCAGAAUUUCCUCUUCAGAUCCUGAUACAUCUUCUCACUGCCAGGGUGAAUCGAAUAAGCUGUCUCAUGAGCUUCCUUAAGAAUCAACUCCCGAAUGGACUGGACAUUGGGAACACAUAAGCGGUCUUUGAACCAUAUCACGCCUUCUGCAUCUUCUCGAAAAUCUUUGCCUUUGCCUUCUAGAAUCAGUCGCCGGAUCUCACUGAUUUUCUCAUCAUUCUUUUGCGCUCCUUUGAUUUCGCGCUCCAAGGUAGGUUCCAACUCAACUGUGACUCCUCGCGAAUUGUUCAGAAACCCGAGACUCAACCUGUCGAACUCCUUGGCCAACUCAUAAGGCAUCGGGCGAGCGACCAUCAGAUUGACUUGACUUUUUCUGCUUAAAGCAUCUGCCACUACGUUUGCUUUGCCUAGAUGAUAAUGAAUCUCCAACUCAUAGUCUUUGAUCAGCUCUAACCAUCUUCGUUGCCUCAUGUUCAGCUCUGACUGAGUGAAUAUGUACUUCAGACUCUUGUGGUCUGUGUAAACAUCGCAUUUCUGUCCAUACAGAUAGUGCCUCCAUGUCUUCAGUGCGUGAACCACUGCUGCCAACUCUAGGUCAUGGAUUGGGUAGUUCUUCUCAUGAACCUUCAGCUGUCGGGACGAGUAAGCCACAACUCUUCCCUCUUGCAUCAACACACAUCCCAAACCUGUGUAACAAGCAUCACAAUACACCGAAAAGGGCUUGUGCACAUCGGGCAAGACUAGGACAGGCGCUGUAGUCAACUUCUCUUUCAGCGCUUCAAAGGCCUCUUGACAUUUCUGGGUCCACUUGAACUCAACUUUGUUGCCUAGCAACGCUGUCAUUGGUUUCGCAAUCUUCGAAAACCCUUCAAUGAAUCGCCGAUAAUAUCCGGCCAUUCCAAUGAAACUCUUGAUUCCUCUAGCAUCUGUUGGCGCUUUCCAGUUCAAAAUGUCUGCCACUUUCUUCGGAUCCACAGCCAAUCCUUCCUUGUUGAUUACGUGACCCAAGAACAGGACUUCACUGAUCCAGAACUCACACUUGCUCAAUUUUGCAUACAACUGGUGCUCUCGCAAUCUCUGCAAUACCAUCCUCAAAUGAUCUGCGUGCUCUUCUUCGCUUUGGGAAUAAAUCAGAAUGUCAUCAAUGAAUACCACCACAAACUUAUCAAGGUAAUCCAUGAAUACACUGUUCAUCAAGUUCAUGAAGAACGCUGGCGCAUUGGUCAAACCAAAUGACAUCACCGUGAACUCAUACAACCCAUACUUGGAAAUGAAUGCCGUCUUCGGAAUGUCCGAAGGUCGGAUCCUGAGCUGAUGAUAACCUGACCUCAGAUCAAUCUUGGAGAACACACUGGCUCCUCUCAACUGGUCGAACAGAUCUUCUAUUCUGGGCAAGGGAUACUUGUUCUUGAUCGUGACCUCAUUCAAAGCUCGAUAAUCGAUGCACAUCCUCUUGGUGCCAUCUUUCUUUUCCACAAAUAAGACAGGGGCGGCCCAAGGCGAGGUGCUUGGCCGAAUGUAACCUUUCUCUGACAGUUCAUCAAUCUGCUCCUUAAGCUCAACCAACUCUGGUCCAGAUAUUCUGUAAGCUCUCUUAAAGAUGGGGGCGGUUCCAGGAAGAAGCUCUAUGGCAAACUCAACUUUCCGCUCUGGUGGCAUACCCGGUAAGUCCUUUGGAAACACAUCUGGGAAUUCAGACACAACCUUGAUACUCUCAAUUGGAUCUGCUUCACUGCUAUCGACAGCCAUCUGAUAACAACCUCCUUUCUUUGACUCAGGCGGGACUAGUUCGGUCACCACUUCCUUUCCUACUGGGGACACCAACUUGAUUGUCCUUUUAUCACAACUGAUAACUGCCUGAUACUUAUCUAACCAAUUCAUCCCUAGGAUGACAUCUAUUCCCUGAGUACCCAUUACUAUAAGGUUGGCGGGAAAUGCUAUCCCCCUUAUUUUCACACUUAUAUUCAAACAAAUGCUAUCGGCUCGAAUUCUACCACCGGCUGAGUAAAUUUGAAUGGGGGUUGACAUGGUAGUAGUUGGAAGAUUAUGUGCUUCUACCCAUGAUGCAGUAAUGAAAGAAUGCGUUGCUCCAGUAUCAAAUAACACUUCUGCAAUAUGGGAGUCGACUGGGAACAUACCUACUAUCAUGUCGGGGGUCUCCUGAACUGCUUCAGCCUCCAAGUGGUUCAGCCUUCCAUGAUUAUAGCGCGGCUGAGGGCGAUUGCCUGCUCCAGGCUGAGACACAUUCUGCUUUGCUGGGGCAUUGGGGCCUGACUGCUGCUGGGCUGCCUUCUUCGGACAUUGCAUCACCCAGUGGCCUUGCUCUCCACAGUGGAAACAUGCUCUGUUUCCAACCUGAGCUGGUGCUGCCUGACUGUUCUGCUGAUUUGCUGGGGCAGGAAGACGAGGGGCCUGCUGAUUCUGCCUUUGAAACUGACCUCCUCACUGAUUGCUCUGACGGUUCUGGUACUGAUUCUGAGGAUACUGCCUUUGAAACUGCUGAUGCUGCUGAGGUGGACGCUGGUUCUGCCUGAACUGCUGAGGUUGAUUGCCUGAGAAACGAGGACGACUGCUGCUUCCAGACUGCGGUCCACUGAUCUUGCGCUUACGAUCUUCCAUCUCCUUGCGCUUUCUCUCCGUCAUGAUUGCUCUAUCCAUCAAGUGCUGGAAUGUCGGGAAGGUGUGGUUCAUCAGCUGAUACUGCAGAGGGUCAACCAAGCCUCUCAGGAAACGGUACUGCCGCUUGGCAUCAGUGUUGACAUCUUCAGGAGCAUAGCGAGACAAUUGCAGAAACUUGUCCCGGUACUCACUGACAGACAAUGGCCCUUGCUUGAGGGCCAGGAACUCCUCCUUCUUCACUGUCAUCAGACCUGCAGGAACAUGGUACUGACGAAAGCUACCUCUGAAUUCUUCCCAGGUGAUGGUGUCGGGGUUGGCAUGGGUGGCGAGAUAAGACUCCCACCAUGACUGGGCUGCUCCUCUCAACAGACGGGGACCAUACAGAACUUUCUCCCUGUCAUCGCACUGAGCGGUAUGCAACUCCCGCUCCACAGUGCGCAGCCAAUCUUCAGCAUCCAUGGGGUCAGAAGAAUGAGCGAACGUUGGUGGAUGACCUCUCAUGAAUUCAGCACGCUUGUCUCUAGGCAUCUGAGGCAUCUGAGGCUGAGGUGGUGCUUGCUGCUGUUGCUGCUGCUGCUGCUGAAUGGCGGCCAAAGUCUGACCGAUGGCUUGAACUGCCUGAGUCUGCAUCAGAAACAUCUGCUCGAUGGACAUCGGGGGCGGGGGUGGCAGCUGCUGCUGCUGGGGCGCCUCCUCCUGUUGAGCGGCUCGCUCCUGCUGAGCACGCCUUCCUCCUCUGCGCCUAUUCUCUGACAUCUGCAGAAUGCAACCACACAUCAGAACUGAUCUGGCAAAUCUUGCAGCAUAAGAGAAGAGUAUAGAAUUCUUCAACAGCACUGAACAGAUGAGCAUCUUCACUGAUCUCCAACACAGACCACACAGUUUCUCAGAUAGAAAGGAAAGUGGAAUAAAAGGUUUCCCAACUAUAUAACUAACUUUAUUAACAUAAUAGGUAAACCAAAAUGCAGGGGAUGCCCACACUCUGGUGACAAUCAUUACAAAGAUCCAAACCAAUCAUAGUUCAUCAUGACAAACAUAAAUGCACAUGAUAUAGCAAACUACCCUGUCUAACUAAGACUAACUAAGACUGAGACUAACGCUAAGACUGAAGCUUCUACGUAUAUUUUUCGUAUUAAUUACAAGAUCCAACUCUAACGAUCUAUGGUUCUAGAGUUAUCUUGGUCUUGCAGUCGGGAUUGCCAUAAGACUGGUGUCCAUGCUGAGGUGAGCGGUACGGGUGCUGAGUCCCAACGGGAGCGGGGGAACCACCAUCCAGGUGACGAUGUUCCGCGCGCUCAGCCCGCAGCAGGGCGAUCUCAGCACGAGCCCUACUCAGCUCGUCUAAUGCAUGGUCCAGCUCCGUGUUUAGCACGGCGGCUAGGUUGACUGUGCUGCUCAACCUAGGAUUGCCCUCACCGACAGGUGAGACAAUCACGCCUCCUGUGCUGCCAGAUGGACGGCGGGGGUAAUACUUCAGGUCAAGACCGUCAGCUGCCCCACCGAAAACCGAGCAGUAGUGCGAAAGCGCACGCCGUGCAGCAUCUUGCAUGGCUGCCUCAGCUGAGUCCCGCUCAGAAAUAGAAUAGUGCUCUGAACAGGCCUCUGCACCCUGGAGACUGUUCUCCGGGCAGCGCACCAAGCAAGUCGCCUCCCAGCGGUCCGGGUAGACCCCGCGACUAUGCUGGUAGACCACACAGCGAUACUCGACGGACCAAGUAUGCCGGUCAAAUGCCCGACGUAGCAGGGUGUCGAGCGCAUCGUGGAAGUGACACCCGCGAGCAGCGUCGCGAGUGAUGGGUCGAGCAACCCAUCCUUCCGGCUCAAGGUUAGCAGAGAAGUCGGUGUCGUGGCUCGAGCUGUCGUCGCCAUCUCCGUCGUCUGGGUCUCCUCCAGCAGCUACUCCAGAAGCUGGGGCGCCCAGUGGUGAUGCAGGGGGCGGCUCCAGAGGAAGCACAGGGGAGCAGCUCCUCACAGACUCUAUCUCCUGGUGGAGCGAGAAGGAAGAGCUCUGCUGCUCCUGUCGUCGACGCUCCUGCUCCUCACGCAGGCGGUGGUGUAGUCUCUCCAAGUGGCUGGACUGUCCGGCCACGGGACGGCGAAGCGGACGCUCAGCAAGGCGGGAGGGUAAGAAGGGGAUGACUGACUUUCGUGCAGUGUGUCUAAGUCGAGCCAUCUACAAAAGACAUUGCAAGCAAAAGGGCGAGAACAGAAUUAAUAUGACCAGCAAGUAAUGAAUCAUAAAUAGAUGAAGGAUUAGAAUAAAACAUGAUUUUCAGCAAGGUAUAAUAUAUAGUAGAACAUAGGUUUGGUCGGUAUGACCAACUUUUGAAGGGAUGACAAAGUCAAGGAAGAGACAGAGGUCUAUAGUCCUUAGAACGGCCAUUCUACUCUAGGUUAGCGGUCCUACAGUCAGCACGGCUUUGAUACCACUUAUGUCACACCCGGUUUUAGAAGGCAAACCGAAUGCGAACCAUGUACGUGCCAGGAUCAGUUAUUCACGUACACAGCAGUUACAUAAUAUGGACAUCAUCACACAGUGCUCAAAAUAGUAUUAAUAAGGGAAAUAGUCGAUUACAUCAUACGUCUGAGACGUCCAUAUAGUUCUUACAAUAAAUCAAAGUGCGGAAAAGAAACGUAGAUAACGCGGCCUUCACAGGCAGCCGACUGGGGGUUGCCGCUAACCCACACCUAGAACUCGUCGUAGUCUUGGAACUCCUGGAAGUCUCCUUCCACAGCUUCAUCUUCGCCUGAGCAGUGGUUGCAAUGCUGACAACCUGGGGGGGGGGGGUUUGGUGUGUAGAGCAAGGGUGAGUACACAUCAACAUACUCAGCAAGUAUCCUGUUUGGCUGUAGUGGACUAGCUUUAUGUGGGGAUAAGUCAAGCAGUUGCUUUUAGUUGGUCAGAUUAUUAUUUACUAGUAGAAAGCCAAGUUUUAGCAUUAACCCAAGUUAUUAACCCGAUGUACCCUUUCCAAACGGAAAGAAUACCACUUACCAGCACCAUAGUCAUAACCAAAACCAUCAAUCUCAUUGCCACCUGUAAACCAAAAGGUCUCUUAUCAAGUACCACUAAUCACUGGAGCUCCCUUGGCCGCUCAUAACCGCGAGCACGGCUGAUAUAUCAGUUUCAUAACACUCUGCAGAGGUUGUGCACUUUACCCACAAGCCGUGAUUCCCUCUUGCCUCGGGCCGAUCAAACCCUUAAACACUACCAAGGUGAAUAGGCAGGGUUUCACUACGUAGCCUUUACAAAGAUUCCCCGGGGCUGUAGCCACCCGUUAGGUUUCCUAAAUGCACCGCACUCCUCCCCAAGGGGCGAACCCAAACUUGGCAGAGCGAGCCGCAUACACCGAGCCCCAUUGACGGCACGACGGCUAAGUGAACUACACCCCGGAUCCUCUAAUUAUUCAGCUAAGGGCAUCCCAUUCCACCCUCAUGGUUGCACUGUUUUCCUGGGCGGUCAUCCAUAGAACAGGUCCUUACGGAGAGGCACUCGAGAAACCGCUCGAGCCCCCUUGAAUACCACAAGUACAACAUCAUAAUAAGAGAAGGGAAAACAGCGUAUCAUAGAUAAUCUCAUCAUGUUCAUUGAUUAGAGUUGAGCAAUAGCAUAAAGCUAAACAGUAAUAAUCCAACCCAAAUAGGUAAACAAGGACAUGGAUAACAAAAGCUAGUCAAUCCUUAGGUAUAAAGGUGUAAUGCGGGAGGUGAAUUAAAUAAUGAAUAGGACAGAGAUAGGUCAAAGGACACUUGCCUCCACCACCCGACUGCUGCUCAGGGACUUCUCCUGCGAAUUCCUCGGGCUCUUCGACCGGAUCGUUCUCUAUGCGAUUGCAAACAUACAUACAUCCAUCCACAUUUAAUACAAAAGAACAGUACACCAUACAAGGGAACAAAUAAAGUGAGUAUGCAUCAAGUAUGACAUUCGAUAUCGCAUUUGUUAUGGUUAGAAAGAAACGGGAAAGGGUCUCGCAGGGGGUUAAAUCUUAUGCACUAAUGAUCAAUUACAAUUGGUUCUUAACAAAAGAAUUCUGUUACAUAUACACUAAUGGAAACCUAAUCAUUUUAAGUUGAUCAACAUUGCACGAGGUAAACAAUUAACUACAUGAAUCAACUAGCAUAACGGAAUUUUAAAUUAAACUUCCUAUUUCAAUGGCAUGAACAAUGAUUAGCUUACCUAAAAUAAAAUAGCUAUGAUCACAGAAAGUAAAUAAAAUAAAAAAAAUAAAAAAAACAGAGGGGGGGCGGUUGAACCGGCCCUAGGGGCGGUUGAACCGGCCCUGCGCAGGGGGCGCGGCCAGGGCGGGCGGCCGAGGGCGGGCUGGGGGCGGCCGGGACCGGCCAGGGCGCGGCGGCCAGGGGGCGGCAGCGGCCGGCCAGGGCGCGCGGCCAGGGGGCCGGGCGGCUGGGCUGCCAAGGGGAGGGAGGAGGGGAGAGGGGAGAGGGAGGGAGGAGGGAGAGAGGGAGGAGGGGGGCUCACCGGCGGGGGCGGCCGACGGCGGGGAGCGGCGGCCGAGCAGGGGGCGGCGGCGGCUUAGGGCAGGGGGUAGAGGCGGCGGCGGCUUAGGGUGGGGGAGAGAAAAUGAGAGAAAAUGAGAGGGAGAGGGAGAGGGUUUGGGGAAAAAAGGGGGGAUGAGGGGGGGCGGCUGGGCCUUUUUGGGCCCAAGAGGGGGCGCCAGGGGCGGCUGGGCCGGCCGGGGUCGGCCCACGGCGUGGGAGAGAGAGAAAAAAAGGAGAGAGAAAGAGAGAGAGAAAAAAGAAAGAAAAGAUCUCCUCAUUUUCGAAAUCCAAUCUUUCUACAUGAAUGCAAUUGCGCUUUCAAAGCAAUCAAAAGAAAUGCAAGGUUCGGCAUGGUGCAUCAAACAACAUAAAGUAUUUAGGGUUUUUCUUACACGGGAAUUCCAAACCGAAUCCCGCUAGAACUUUGGAAAAGGUCAAGGUUUAGCGAAGGGAAAAAGAAAAAGAAAAGGUAACGCCCGAAUUUUGGCGAGUAAAGAAAAGAAAAAAUUCAAAUGCAAAAUUCGGGGCGUUACACUUUUAAAUGCACAUGACUAUUUUUUGUGGACAGUAUCCUAGAAGAGGUAGAAACACAACCCUUGCUUCAAAGAAGAAGAUAGACCCCAACAUGGCUCCAGGCAUUAGGUUCAGCAAGAGAGUGAGGGCAGGUGCACAACCAGAGGAGCAAUCUUCAAAAAGGCUUCACUCUACAGAGACAGAUGGCCACAAUGUACAGGAACCAACAGAUGGAAAUGAUCACAUACCAAACAGCCCUACUACACCUGGACUUGCUGAUCAUUUCAGCAGAGCUGCAGAGGAAGCCAUGGCAUCUGCUGCUCAUGACAGUACAGGUGAUGCUGAAGGCAACAGCCGUACUACACCUGGACUUGCUGAUCAUUUCAGCAGAGCUGAAGAGGAAGACAUGGCAUCUACUGCUCAUGACAGUACAGGUGAUGCUCAAGCCAAUGUAGCUAGAGAUGAAGAAACUGAAGGCAAGUUCUAUUUUUUCAGUCAAAUAAGGCAUCUCUUUUGCUGAUUUGCAUGAAACAAAACAAUUUCAUUAUUCAAUAAAAGCGAAUUAUAUUUUGUAGCUCCUACACAGCGAGCACCAAGGAGACCCAGGGCAGCAACCAAGGGAAAACAACUGGACAGGAUGACUAAAGUUAUGCAAAGGAGACUGCCCAUAGCUGUUGAGGAAGGCAAAAAAGGCCACAUGAACCUGUUCAAGCUGCCAAGUUUGCAUCAGAGGCUGGCAUCAUUAUUCGGGAAACCAUGCCUAUACUAACUCGUUGGAAAGAUUACAAGGACGACCAGAAAUACUACAACAACUUUGUGUCACAGCUAAAUGUAAGUGCAUUACUGAUUCUAUGGUUCACUUGUAUACUGCUUAACCUGAUUUGACUAACUAUGGAAUUGUCAUAUGCAUAGGGGCGCUUGUCCGUUAACACUGAGGACAAGGCAACAAAGGAAGCUUGCACCGAUAUGCUACGCUCUGCGGUAAAAAACCAGUGUUAUCGGCUCAAGCAGAAAUACUUCAAUGGUGUACCUGCAAAUGAGAUUAGCACAACUUCUCCUGUAUCUUACAUGACUGAUGAAUAGUGGAGGGCAUUAGUUGCAAAGUGGUCUGAUCCAAAGAACAUGGUAUGGGUAUCUUGUCAUAUAUUGUUCUUUCACUAUACGUUUGCAAAGGAUCUUCGCAUAUUGAACCUAUGAUCUAAUCUGACAUGUUCAUUCUCUUGUAGGAAAUAAGUGAAAAGAACAAGCAGAACCACAGUCAAGUCAAGUUUCAUCAGGCUACAGGUUCUCGCUGCUAUGUGGCACACUUACAUGCAUAUGUAAGUAACUAUUACCUUGUACUACUACCUGCACUUUUGCACUCAACUUCUAUUGCAUUUGAUCUGAGAAAACUUCGCUGUGAUUGUUUAUCCACGAAACAGAAGCAGAAGAGAAACCGAGAAGAACCCAGCUUAGAUCAGACUGAAGAACUAGAUGCGGUGGACGCCUUCAAGACCUGUCAUACCAGCUCCAAACGUGGCCUGAGUGAACCGGCAAGAGAAGCACUUGUAAGUUCAUUUGUUUGCUUUAUUUAGUGUAAUUUUUAUGAGAUCAUAUGAGGGAGGCUGGCUGUGGGUCGAUGGAACGAAGGGGAGUGAGAUCGCCUGUCCCAUCCCAGGGGAGUUCAGAUCAUAGUCUAUUUUGUCUGCCAUUUGUCUGCCAUCAAAUUUCUAAAAUGAAAGUAAAUAUCAUAGUCUAUUUUUUGUAGGACCCGUGCACUAGAAAUGUAUAGGUUUUAGAGUCUUUGUUAAGCAAAUCUGCUAUAAUUUGUAACUGUUUUCACAUUAUUUUUCAUAGUCUAUUUAUAGAGUCUUUCAAAUGUAUAGCUUUUAAUUUGCCAUCAAAUGUAUAGCUUUUAAGCAAAUCUGCUAUAAUUUGUAACGGCUAUAAUCUGCUAUAAUUUGCCAUCAAAUGUAUAGCUUUUAGAGUCUGUCAGUCUAUUUUUCAUAGUCUUUGUUAAUGCCUUGUAGGCUAUAAUUUGUAACUGCUAUAAUCUGCUAUAAUGUGCACUAGAAAUGAAAGUCACUGUUUUCACAUUAUUGUCAGCAUCUUGCUGUUGCUCAUUAGCAUUAACAUGUUACUGUUUCUGUCCAUGAUAUUUCAGUCUCAUAUGGAGGCUUUGAGGGCUGAACCUGUUGCUGAAGGUGAGAUGCCAGCAUCUAGUGUGCACCUUGUGUCGAAGGUGCUGUCCCAGAGCAGCUCACACCAAUUCCUGAAAAGCGUCGGCAUCAAAACAUCGGCAACCUCCAAGGCAUCAUCAUCAAAUCAUAGUGAGCUUCGGGAACAACUUGCAGCUGAAGCGACGGCUGCUGUUCAAGGUGAACUCGACCAGCUCAGGAAGAAAUGUGAAGAAGCUGAGGAACAGCAGGCGAGGACACAAAGGGAGUUGGAGGAGUACAAGAAGAUAACAGAGAAGAACAGCAAGGAGAUGGAGGAGACCAAUGUGCUCAUCAAGAAGCUCUUGUCCUUGCAUGGUAACUCUUCUUCGACAUGAGGGCUGCUAGUCAGAGCUGCUGUUUUUGGCCUAUUCUUUGACAUGAGGGUACCCAAAAACUCUAGUUGCUCGUGGGUGUCAACUUUUGAUUAUAUGCUGUUAUGUUUGUGCAAACUCAACUGAAAUGUGAAGUCAAGUGGUGAUGUUGUGAACUGAGUUUAGUGUUGUCCACUUAGUUUGUAUGCGCACUGGAAUACUAGUUGUAUUCAUGUAUGGAAUAUGGAAUUGUGUGCUCAUUCCUCUGUUCUAGUAUAUUUUGCAAUUUCCAAUUAAAUUAUUCUCUGCACAUCUGUGACCAAACUGGUGGCAUAUAAUAAAACAUAUGCCACGUCAGCGUUGACGUCAGCUCUGACGUCAGCUGCCACAUCACUAGCCACGUCAGCGCUGACGUCAUACGCAUCAGCACCUUCCAAACGGCUGUUAAUGACCAAACCACGGCUCUAUCUGUGACGAUACCGUACCGUCACAGAAACCAAACGGCGUUAACAACGCCGUCAGUUUGCUCGGGCAGACGACGAAUUAUGACGGAAAAGUGCCUUCCUCUAUGACCACAACUGAUCGUCAUAGAAUGAAUUCACUUCCAUGACAACGCGGCUUUCAUCACAGAAUGUAUACACAUCGAUGACGAAACUGGGUAGUUCGUCACAACACAACAAAUGUGACGCGACCCCUAUGACCAAAUCGAACUCGUCACAAAUUCGUCACAAACCUUUAUCUGUGACGAUAUAUACACAUGCAGUGACGCAAUACGAACGUCAUCGAUGAUAAGAUCUCUACUAGUGAGGGGGGUGAAUAGGUGUUCCUGUAAAAUCAAAUACUAAAUAGCCACAAACUUGAUUAUUAAGAUGUUAGUAAAAUCAAGUGGCUAUGGAACACGCUCGUGCGGACAAAACAAUCACAAGAAGCAACACACGAGACACGUGAUUUUUAUCUCGUGGUUCGGCCAAGUAACACUUGCCUACUUUCACGUUGUGGCGUCCUAAUGGACGAGGGUUGCACUCAACCCCUUUCAAGCGAUUCAAUGAUCAACUUGAAUACCAUGGCUUUCUUCCUUACAGUCUUUCUCCCGUUUGCGAGGAAUCUCCAUAGAUUAGAGCCUCUCGCCCUUACAAGUUUGUCACAAGAGAAGCAAAGUAGUAAGAGAGGGAGAACAACACACACAAGACUCAAAUCCACAGCACACACACGCACGCAAGCCUAGACUUGAGCUCAAAACACAGCACAGGGAGUACGCAACUCAAACGGAGCUCAAAUCACUAACAUAGUCGAUCAAAUGCGUGUAGGCGGAGUCUGGGAGUCUUAGAAUGUUUCUUGUAAGCUUGGUGUAUUGCUCCAUGCACCUAGGGGUCCCUUUUAUAGCCCCAAGGCAGCUAGGAGCCGUUGGAGACCAACUUGGAAGGCCAAUCUUGCCUUCUGUCGAGUGGUGCACCGGACAGUCCGGUGCACCACCGGACAGCCACUGUAGCAGUCCGGUGCGCGAUCUCCUUCCAAAUCGGGCGCAGCCGACCGUUGGUCCUUCAGGCGAGAUGGCGCACCGGACACUGUCCAGUGCACCCAGCCGACCGUUGGAGCUGGCCACGUGUCGCGCGGUGAUCACGCGGUCGACCGUUUGCCGCAGGCGCCGUUGGCUCACCGGACAGUCCGGUGCACCACCGGACAGUCCAGUGAAUUUUAGCCACGUCGCCUUUUUCUUUUCCCAAGAGCGACGAGUUCAUCGCGGAUGACUCACCGGACAGUCCGGUGCACUACUGGACAGUCCGAUGAAUUUUAGUCGUACAACUCCGUCGUUUCCCAAGAGCAGUCGGUUCACCACCGACUAGCCUGGGGCACCGGACACUAUCCGGUGCGCCACCGGACAGUCCGGUGUGCCAGGCCGAGCUGGAGUUUGGUAUACACAGCCAACUCUUCUUCAAUUAUAAUCUCUUUUUCUUGGCACUGUUUCUAGCACUUAGAUAAACAUGUUAGUAUUCAAAAACUAAUUUACUAAGUCUAGAAGCAUACCUUGUUUAUGAUUUGCACUUCUCACUUAUUUAGUGAAAGGGAAUUAGGCUUACACCUAGUUCCUAAAUAAUUUUGGUGGUUGAAUUGCCCAACACAAGUAAUUGGACUAACUAGUUUGCUCCAGUGUAUAAGUUAUACAGGUGUCAAAGGUUCACAUCAAGCCAAUUAAAAAGACCAAAGUUGGGUUCAAAAUAGAGAGCUAAAGGCAUCCCGAAAGGCUCCCUGGUCUGGCGCACCGGACUGUCCGGUGGCGCACUGGACAGUGUCCGGUGCACCAGGGGACUUCGCGCAAAACUCCUCAGCCUCGGGAUUUUCCUGAAGCCAGCGCGCUAUAAUUCACCAGACUGUCCGGUGUACACCGGACAGUGUCCGGUGCUCCAAGAGGACGCGGCUACGGAACUUGGCAGCCUCGGGAAUUCACAGCGGUUGCUCCGCUAUAAUUCACCGGACAUGUCCGGUGUACACCGGACUGUCCGGUGCAACUACGGGGCAACGGCUACUUCGCGCCAACGGUCACCUGCAACAGCAAUAAAUGCGCGCCAGAGCGCGCAGGCAUCAGGCACGCCCAUGCUGGCGCACCGGACACUCUACAGUACAUGUCCGGUGCGCCACCGGACAUCCAGGCGGGCCCAGAAGUUAGAACUCCAACGGACAAAUUGCAACGGCUUUAGUGACGUGGCUGGCGCACCGGACUGUCCGGUGCACCAUACGACAGACAGCCUCCACCAACGGUCAUGUUUGGUGGUUGGGGCUAUAAAUACCCCAACCACCCCACCAUUCAUUGCAUCCAAGUUUUCCAGCUUCCAACCACUAUACAAGAGCUAGCAUUCAUUGCAAAGCACACCAAAAGAGAUCAAAUCCUCUCCCAACUCCACACAAAGACUUAGUGACUAGAGAGAGUGAUUUAUAGUGUUCAUUUGAGCUCUUGCGCUUGGAUCGCUUCUUUUCUUUGGCAUUCUUUCUUGUGAUCAAACACUCACUUGUAAUUGAGGCAAGAGACACCAAUUGUGUGGUGGUCCUUGCGGGAAGUUUGAUUCCCAAGUGAUUUGAGAAAGAGAAGCUCACUCGGUCCGAGGGACCGUUUGAGAGAGGGAAGGGUUGAAAGAGACCCGACCUUUGUGGCCUCCUCAACGGGGAGUAGGUUUGCAAGAACCGAACCUCGGUAAAACAAAUCCGCGUGUCACACUCUUCAUUUGCUUGCGAUUUGUUUUGCGCCCUCUCUCUCGGACUUAUUAUUAUUUCUAACGCUAACCCGGCUUGUAGUUGUGUUUAUAUUUGUAAAUUUCAGUUUCGCCCUAUUCACCCCCCUCUAGGCGACUAUCAAUUGGUAUCAGAGCCGGUGCUUCAUUAGAGCCUAACCGCUCGAAGUGAUGUCGGGAGAUCACGCCAAGAAGGAGAUGGAGACCGGCGAAAAGCCCACUACAAGCCACGGGAACACUUCAUCGGAAGAGUCCCGCACCAAGAGGAAGGAGAAGAAAGACUCCUCCAAAGGGAAGGAGAAGAAAUCUUCUUCACACAAAGAGAAGAAGGAGAAGUCUUCCUCCCACAAGCCGCAACGGAGUGGGGACAAGAAAAAGAGGAUGAGGAAAGUGGUCUACUACGAGACCGAUUCUUCAUCAGCCUCCACCUCCGGCUCCGACGCGGCAUCCGUCACUUCUAAGCGCCAAGAGCGCAAGAAGUAUAGUAAGAUCCCCCUACGCUACCCUCGCAUUUCUAAACAUACACCUUUACUUUCCGUCCCAUUAGGCAAACCACCAACAUUUGAUGGUGAAGAUUACGCUAGGUGGAGUGAUUUAAUGCGAUUUCAUCUAACCUCACUCCACAAAAGCAUAUGGGAUGUUGUUGAGUUUGGUGCACAGGUACCAUCCGUAGGGGAUAAAGACUAUGAUGAGGAUGAGGUAGCCCAAAUCGAGCACUUCAACUCCCAAGCCACAACCAUACUUCUCGCCUCUCUAAGUAGAGAGGAAUACAACAAGGUGCAAGGGUUGAAGAAUGCGAAAGAGAUUUGGGAUCUACUCAAGACCACGCAUGAGGGUGAUGAACUCACCAAGAUUACCAAGCGGGAGAUGAUCGAGGGGGAGCUCGGUCGCUUCCAUCUUCGCCAAGGGGAGGAGCCACAAGAUAUGUACAACCGGCUCAAAACCUUGGUGAACCAAGUGCGCAACCUCGGGAGCAAGAAAUGGGAUGACCACGAGGUGGUUAAGGUUAUUCUUAGAUCACUCUUCUUCCUUAACCCCACUCAAGUUCAAUUAAUUCGUGGUAAUCCUAGAUAUACAUCAAUGUCCCCCGAGGAAGUUAUCGGGAAUUUUGUGAGUUUUGAAUAUAUGAUCAAGGGCUCAAAAAAGAUCAACGAGCUUGAUGAUCCCUCCACAUCCGAAGCACAACCGGUGGCUUUCAAGGCGACAGAGGAGAAGAAGGAGGAGUCUACACCAAGUAGACAACCAAUCGACGCUUCAAAGCUCGACAACGAGGAGAUGGCUUUAAUCAUCAAAAGCUUUCGCCAAAUCCUCAAGCAAUGGAAGGGGAAGGAUUACAAAUCCCGUUCCAAGAAGGUUUGCUACAAGUGUGGUAAGCCCGGUCACUUUAUUGCUAAAUGUCCAUUAUCAAGUGACAGUGACAGGGAUAACGACAAGAAGGGCAAGAGGAGAGAAAAGAAGAGAUACCACAAGAAGAGGGGCGGCGAUGCCCACAUGUGCCGCGAGUGGGACUCCGACGAGAGCUCCACCGACUCCUCCGAUGACGAGGACGCCGCCAACAUCGCCAUCACCAAGGGACUCCUCUUCCCCAACGUCGGCCACAAGUGCCUCAUGGCAAAGGACGGCAAAAAGAAGAAGGUUAAAUCUAAAUCCUCCACUAGAUAUGAGUCCUCUAGUGAUGAUAAUGCUAGUGAUGAGGAAGAUAAUUUGCGUACCAUUUUUGCCAACCUUAACAUGGAACAAAAAGAAAAACUAAAUGAGCUAAUUAGUGCCAUCCAUGAGAAGGAUGAUCUCUUGGACUCCCAAGAGGACUUCCUAAUCAAGGAAAAUAAAAACAUGUUAAGGUUAAAAAUGCUUAUGCUCUAGAGGUAGAAAAAUGUGGGAAAUUAACUAGUGAGCUAAGCACAUGUCAUGACACUAUUGCCAACCUUAGAAAUGAAAAUAAUAAUUUAUUAGCUAAGGUUGAUUCUCAUGUUUGUAAUGUUUCAACUUCCAAUUCUAGAGAUGAUAAUGAUGAUUUACUUGCUAGGAUUGAAGAAUUGAACAUUUCACUUGCUAGCCUUAGGAUUGAAAAUGAGAAAUUGCUUGCUAAGGCUAAAGAUCUUGAUGUUUGCAAUGUUACUAUUUCUAACCUUAGGAGUGAAAACGAUAUAUUACAUGCUAAGGUUAUAGAAUUAAAAUCUUGCAAACCCUCUACAUCUAUCGUUGAGCAUGUAUCUAUUUGUAGUAGAUGUAGAGAUGUUGAUAUUAAUGCUAUUCAUGAUCACAUGUCCUUAAUUAAACAACAAAAUGAUCAUAUAGCAAAAUUAGAUGCUAAAAUUGCCGAGCAUAACUUAGAAAAUGAAAAAUUUAAAUUUGCUAGAAGUAUGCUCUAUAGUGGGAGACGCCCUGGCAUUAAGGAUGGCAUCGGCUUCCAAAGGGGAGACAAUGCCAAAAUUAGUGCCCCUCCUAAGAAAUUGUCAAACUUUGUUAAGGGCAAGGCUCCCAUACCUCAGGAUAACGAGGGUUACAUUUUAUACCCUGCCGUUUAUCCCGAGAGCAAAAUUAGGAGAAUUCAUUCUAGGAAGUCUCACUCUGGCCCUAAUCAUGCAUUUAUGUAUAAGGGUGAGACAUCUAGCUCUAGGCAACCAACCCGUGCUAAGUUGCCUAAGAAGAAAACUCCUAGUGCAUCAAAUGAUCAUGACAUUUCAUUCAAAAAUUUUGAUGCAUCAUAUGUUUUGACUAACAAAUCCGGCAAGGUCGUUGCCAAGUAUGUUGGGGGCAAACACAAGAGCUCCAAAACUUGUGUUUGGGUUCCCAAAGUUCUUGUUUCUAAUGCCAAAGGACCCAAAACCGUUUGGGUACUUAAAGUCAAGAACUAAAAUUGUUUUGUAGGUUUAUGCAUCCGGGGGCUCAAGUUGGAUACUCGACAGCGGGUGCACAAACCAUAUGACAGGGGAGAAGAAGAUGUUCUCCUCCUAUGAGAAAAACCAAGAUCCCCAACGAGCUAUCACAUUCGGGGAUGGAAAUCAAGGUUUGGUCAAAGGUUUGGGUAAAAUAGCUAUAUCCCCUGACCAUUCCAUUUCCAAUGUUUUUCUUGUUGAUUCAUUAGAUUACAAUUUGCUUUCUGUAUCUCAAUUAUGCAAAAUGGGCUACAACUGUCUCUUUACUGAUGUAGGUGUCACUGUCUUUAGAAGAAGUGAUGAUUCAAUAGCAUUUAAGGGUGUGUUAGAGGGUCAGCUGUACUUAGUAGAUUUUGAUAGAGCAGAACUCGACACAUGCUUAAUUGCUAAGACUAACAUGGGCUGGCUCUGGCAUCGCCGACUAGCACAUGUUGGGAUGAAGAAUCUUCACAAGCUUCUAAAGGGAGAGCACAUUUUAGGAUUAACCAAUGUUCAUUUUGAGAAAGACAGGGUUUGUCGCGCAUGCAAGGCAGGAAAGCAAGUUGGAGCCCAUCAUUGUAACGCCCCGAAUUUUGCAGUUGAAUUUUUUCUUUUCUUUACUCGCCAAAAUUCGGGCGUUACCUUUUCUUUUUCUUUUUUCCCUCGCUAAACCUUGACCUUUUCCAAAGUUCUAGCGGGAUUCGGUUUGGAAUUCCCGUGUAAUGAAAAACCCUAAAUACUUUAUGUUGUUUGAUGCACCAUGCCGAACCUUGCAUUUCUUUUGAUUGCUUUGAAAGUGCAAAUGCAUUCAUGUAGAAAGAUCGGAUUUCGAAAAUGAGGAGAAGAUCUUUUCUUUCUUUUUCUCUCUCUUUCUCUCUCCUCUUUUUCUCUCUCUCCCGCGCCGUGGGCCGACCCCGGCCAGCCCAGCCGCCCCUGGCGCCCCCUCUUGGGCCUUGGCAAGCCCAGCCGCCCCCCCCACCUCCCCUUUUCCCCUCAAUUCCCCUCCCCCUCCCUCUCAUUUUCCCUCUCUCUCCCUAGCGCCGCCCCUACCCGCCCCUGCCCUAAGCCGCCGCCGCCGCCCUCGGCCGCCCCCUACUGCCGGCCGCCCCUCGCCGUUGCUCCCCAACGCCGGUGAGCCCCCCCCUCUCCCUCUCCCUCUCCCUCUCCCCUCUCCCCUCCUCUCCCUCCCUGGCCCAACCGCCCAGCCGUCCGGCCGCCUGGCCGCCUGGCCGCCUGGCCCUUGGCCGCCUGGCCGCCCUGGCCGCGCGUCCGCCUGGCCCUUGGCCGCGCGCGCCCUGGCCGCGCCCCCUGGCCGCUCGGCCGGCUCGGCCGCCCUGGCUAGCCCGGCCGCCCCCCCCUGCGCGUCCCCGGCUCAGCCGCCCUCCCCCGCGCGCCCGCCCCAGCUCGGCCGCCCUGCCUAGGGCCGGUUCAACCGCCCCCCCUCAGUUUUUUUUAUUUUUUUUAGUUUAUUUUAUUUACUUUCUGUGAUCCUAGUUACUUUAUUUUAGGUAGGUUAAUCAGUGUUCAUGCCAUUGAAAUAGGAAGCUUAAUUUAGAAUUCCGUUACGCUAAUUGAUUCAUGUGAUUAACUGUUUAUCUCGUGCGAUGUUGAUCAACUUAAAAUGAAUAGGUUUCCAUUAGUGCAUAUAACAGAAUUCUUUUGUCAAGAACCAGUUGUAACUAAUCAUUAGUGCAUAAGAUUUAACCCCCUGCGAGACCUUUUCCCGUUUCUUUUUAAUCAUAAUAAAUGCGAUAUCAAAUGUCAUAUUUGAUGCAUACUCACUUUAUUUGUUCCCUUGUAUGGUGUACUGUUCUUUUGUAUUAAAUAUAUGGAUGUAUGUAUGUUUGCGCUCGCAUAGAGAACGAUCCGGUCGAAGAGCCCGAGGAAUUCGCAGGAGAAGCCCCUGAGCAGCAGUUGGUUGGUGGAGGCAAGUGUCCUUUGACCUAUCUAUGUCCUAUUCAUUAUUUAAUUCACCUCCCGCUUUACACAUUUAUACCUAAGGAUUGACUAGCUUUUGUUAUCCAUGUCCUUGUUUACCUAUCUGGGUUGGAUUAUUACUGUUUAGCUUUAUGCUAUUUGUAACGCCCCGAAUUUUGCAGUUGAAUUUUUUUCUUUUCUUUACUCGCCAAAAUUCGGGCGUUACCUUUUCUUUUUCUUUUUCCCUUCGCUAAACCUUGACCUUUUCCAAAGUUCUAGCGGGAUUCGGUUUGGAAUUCCCGUGUAAGAAAAACCCUAAAUACGUACUUUAUGUUGUUUGAUGCACCAUGCCGAACCUUGCAUUUCUUUUGAUUGCUUUGAAAGCGCAAUUGCAUUCAUGUAGAAAAAUCGGAUUUCGAAAAUGAGGAGAAGAUCUUUUCUUUCUUUUUUCUCUCUCUCUCUUUCUCUCUCCUCUUUUUCUCUCUCUCCCGCGCCGUGGGCCGACCCCGGCCGGCCCAGCCGCCCCUGGCGCCCCCUCUUGGGCCCAAAAAGGACCAGCCGCCCCCCCCCUCAUCCCCCCUUUUUUCCCCAAACCCUCUCCCUCUCCCUCUCAUUUUCUCUCAUUUUCUCUCCCCCACCCUAAGCCGCCGCCGCCUCUACCCCCUGCCCUAAGCCGCCGCCGCCCCCUGCUCGGCCGCCGCUCCCCGCCGUCGGCCGCCCCCGCCGGUGAGCCCCCCCUCUCCUCCCUCUCUCCCUCCUCCCUCCCUCUCCCCUCUCCCCUCCUCCCUCCCCUUGGCAGCCCAGCCGCCCGGCCCCCUGGCCGCGUGCCCUGGCCGGCCGCUGCCGCCCCCUGGCCGCGCGCCCUGGCCGGCCGCUGCCGCGCCCUGGCCGCGCCCAGCCGGCCGCUGCCGCGCCCUGGCCGGUCCCGGCCGCCCCCAGCCCGCCCUCGGCCGCCCGCCCUGGUCGCGCCCCCUGCGCAGGGCCGGUUCAACCGCCCCCCCUUUUUUUAUUUUUUUUAUUUUAUUUUAUUUACUUUCUGUGAUCAUAGCUAUUUUAUUUUAGGUAAGCUAAUCAUUGUUCAUGCCAUUGAAAUAGGAAGUUUAAUUUAAAAUUCCGUUAUGCUAGUUGAUUCAUGUAGUUAAUUGUUUACCUCGUGCAAUGUUGAUCAACUUAAAAUGAUUAGGUUUCCAUUAGUGUAUAUGUAACAGAAUUCUUUUGUUAAGAACCAAUUGUAAUUGAUCGUUAGUGCAUAAGAUUUAACCCCCUGCGAGACCCUUUCCUGUUUCUUUCUAACCAUAACAAAUGCGAUAUCGAAUGUCAUACUUGAUGCAUACUCACUUUAUUUGUUCCCUUGUAUGGUGUACUGUUCUUUUGUAUUAAAUGUGGAUGGAUGUAUGUAUGUUUGCAAUCGCAUAGAGAACGAUCCGGUCGAAGAGCCCGAGGAAUUCGCAGGAGAAGCCCCUGAGCAGCAGUCGGGUGGUGGAGGCAAGUGUCCUUUGACCUAUCUCUGUCCUAUUCAUUAUUUAAUUCACCUCCCGCAUUACACCUUUAUACCUAAGGAUUGACUAGCUUUUGUUAUCCAUGUCCUUGUUUACCUAUUUGGGUUGGAUUAUUACUGUUUAGCUUUAUGCUAUUGCUCAACUCUAAUCAAUGAACAUGAUGAGAUUAUCUAUGAUACGCUGUUUUCCCUUCUCUUAUUAUGAUGUUGUACUUGUGGUAUUCAAGGGGGCUCGAGCGGUUUCUCGAGUGCCUCUCCGUAAGGACCUGUUCUAUGGAUGACCGCCCGGGAAAACAGUGCAACCAUGAGGGUGGAAUGGGAUGCCCUUAGCUGAAUAAUUAGAGGAUCCGGGGUGUAGUUCACUUAGCCGUCGUGCCGUCAAUGGGGCUCGGUGUAUGCGGCUCGCUCUGCCAAGUUUGGGUUCGCCCCUUGGGGAGGAGUGCGGUGCAUUUAGGAAACCUAACGGGUGGCUACAGCCCCGGGGAAUCUUUGUAAAGGCUACGUAGUGAAACCCUGCCUAUUCACCUUGGUAGUGUUUAAGGGUUUGAUCGGCCCGAGGCAAGAGGGAAUCACGGCUUGUGGGUAAAGUGCACAACCUCUGCAGAGUGUUAUGAAACUGAUAUAUCAGCCGUGCUCGCGGUUAUGAGCGGCCAAGGGAGCUCCAGUGAUUAGUGGUACUUGAUAAGAGACCUUUUGGUUUACAGGUGGCAAUGAGAUUGAUGGUUUUGGUUAUGACUAUGGUGCUGGUAAGUGGUAUUCUUUCCGUUUGGAGAGGGUACAUCGGGUUAAUAACUUGGGUUAAUGCUAAAACUUGGCUUUCUACUAGUAAAUAAUAAUCUGACCAACUAAAAGCAACUGCUUGACUUAUCCCCACAUAAAGCUAGUCCACUACAGCCAAACAGGAUACUUGCUGAGUAUGUUGAUGUGUACUCACCCUUGCUCUACACACCAAACCCCCCCCAGGUUGUCAGCAUUGCAACCACUGCUCAGGCGAAGAUGAAGCUGUGGAAGGAGACUUCCAGGAGUUCCAAGACUACGACGAGUUCUAGGUGUGGGUUAGCGGCAACCCCCAGUCGGCUGCCUGUGAAGGCCGCGUUAUCUACGUUUCUUUUCCGCACUUUGAUUUAUUGUAAGAAUAUAUGGACGUCUCAGACGUAUGAUGUAAUCGACUAUUUCCCUUAUUAAUACUAUUUUGAGCACUGUGUGAUGAUGUCCAUAUUAUGUAACUGCUGUGUACGUGAAUAACUGAUCCUGGCACGUACAUGGUUCGCAUUCGGUUUGCCUUCUAAAACCGGGUGUGACAUAAGUGGUAUCAAAGCCGUGCUGACUGUAGGACCGCUAACCUAGAGUAGAAUGGUCGUUCUAAGGACUAUAGACCUCUGUCCCUUCCUUGACUUUGUCAUCCCUUCAAAAGUUGGUCAUACCGACCAAACCUAUGUUCUACUAUAUAUUAUACCUUGCUGAAAAACAUGUUUUAUUCUAAUCCUUCAUUCACUUAUGAUUCAUUAUUUGCUGGUCAUAUUGAUUCUGUUCUCACCCUUUUGCUUGCGAUGUCUUUUGUAGAUGGCUAGACUUAGACACACUGCACGUAAGUCAGUCAUCCCCUUCUUACCCUCCCGCCUUGCUGAGCGUCCGCUUCGCCGCCCCGUGGCCGGACAGUCCAGCCACUUGGAGAGACUGCACCACCGCCUGCUUGAGGAGCAGGAACGUCGACGACAGGAGCAGGAGCAGCAGAGCUCUUCCUUCUCGCUCCACCAGGAGAUAGAGUCUGUGAGGAGCUGCUCCCCUGUGCUUCCUCUGGAGCCGCCCCCUGCAUCACCACUGGGCGCCCCAGCUUCUGGAGUAGCUGCUGGAGGAGACCCAGACGACGGAGAUGGCGAUGACAGCUCGAGCCACGACACCGACUUCUCUGCUAACCUUGAGCCGGAAGGAUGGGUUGCUCGACCCAUCACUCGCGACGCUGCUCGCGGGUGUCACUUCCACGAUGCGCUCGACACCCUGCUACGUCGGGCAUUUGACCGGCAUACUUGGUCCGUCGAGUAUCGCUGUGUGGUCUACCAGCAUAGUCGCGGGGUCUACCCGGACCGCUGGGAGGCGACUUGCUUGGUGCGCUGCCCGGAGAACAGUCUCCAGGGUGCAGAGGCUUGUUCAGAGCACUAUUCUAUUUCUGAGCGGGACUCAGCUGAGGCAGCCAUGCAAGAUGCUGCACGGCGUGCGCUUUCGCACUACUGCUCGGUUUUCGGUGGGGCAGCUGACGGUCUUGACCUGAAGUAUUACCCCCGCCGUCCAUCUGGCAGCACAGGAGGCGUGAUUGUCUCACCUGUCGGUGAGGGCAAUCCUAGGUUGAGCAGCACAGUCAACCUAGCCGCCGUGCUAAACACGGAGCUGGACCAUGCAUUAGACGAGCUGAGUAGGGCUCGUGCUGAGAUCGCCCUGCUGCGGGCUGAGCGCGCGGAACGUCGUCACCUGGAUGGUGGUUCCCCCGCUCCCGUUGGGACUCAGCACCCGUACCGCUCACCUCAGCGUGGACACCAGUCUUAUGGCAAUCCCGACUGCAAGACCAAGAUAACUCUAGAACCAUAGAUCGUUAGAGUUGGAUCUUGUAAUUAAUACGAAAAAUAUACGUAGAAGCUUCAGUCUUAGCGUUAGUCUCAGUUUUAGUUAGUCUUAGUUAGACAGGGUAGUUUGCUAUAUCCUGUGCAUUUAUGUUUGUCAUGAUGAACUAUGAUUGGUUUGGAUCUUUGUAAUGAUUGUCACCAGAGUGUGGGUAUCCCCUGCAUUUUGGUUUACCUAUUAUGUUAAUAAAGUUAGUUAUAUAGUUGGGAAACCUUUUAUUCCACUUUCCUUUCUAUCUGAGAAGCUGUGUGGUCUGUGUUGGAGAUCAGUGAAGAUGCUCAUCUGUUCAGUGCUGUUGAAGAAUUCUAUACUCUUCUCUUAUGCUGCAAGAUUUGCCAGAUCAGUUUUGAUGUGUGGUUGCAUUCUGCAGAUGUCAGAGAAUAGGCGCAGAGGAGGAAGGCGUGCUCAGCAGGAGCGAGCCGCUCAACAGGAGGAGGCGCCCCAGCAGCAGCAGCUGCCACCCCCGCCCCCGAUGUCCAUCGAGCAGAUGUUUCUGAUGCAGACUCAGGCAGUUCAAGCCAUCGGUCAGACUUUGGCCGCCAUUCAGCAGCAGCAGCAGCAACAGCAGCAAGCACCACCUCAGCCUCAGAUGCCUUAGAUGCCCAGAGACAAGCGUGCUGAAUUCAUGAGAGGUCAUCCACCAACGUUCGCUCACUCUUCUGACCCUAUGGAUGCUGAAGAUUGGCUGCGCACUGUGGAGCGGGAGUUGCAUACCGCUCAGUGCGAUGACAGGGAGAAACUUCUGUAUGGUCCCCGUCUGUUGAGAGGAGCAGCCCAGUCAUGGUGGGAGUCUUAUCUCGCCACCCAUGCCAACCCCGACACCAUCACCUGGGAAGAAUUCAGAGGUAGCUUUCGUCAGUACCAUGUUCCUGCAGGUCUGAUGACAGUGAAGAAGGAGGAGUUCCUGGCUCUCAAGCAAGGGCCAUUGUCUGUCAGUGAGUACCGGGACAAGUUUCUGCAAUUGUCUCGCUAUGCUCCUGAAGAUGUCAACACCGAUGCCAAGCGGCAGUACCGUUUCCUGAGAGGCUUGGUUGACCCUCUGCAGUAUCAGCUGAUGAACCACACCUUCCCGACAUUCCAGCACCUGAUUGAUAGAGCAAUCAUGACGGAGAGAAAGCGCAAGGAGAUGGAAGAUCGUAAGCGCAAGAUCAGUGGACCGCAGUCUGGAAGCAGCAGUCGUCCUCGUUUCUCAGGCAAUCAACCUCAGCAGUUCAGGCAGAACCAGCGUCCACCUCAGCAGCAUCAGCAGUUUCAAAGGCAGUAUCCUCAGAAUCAGUACCAGAACCGUCAGAGCAAUCAGUCAGGAGGUCAGUUUCAAGGGCAGAAUUAGCAGGCCCCUCGUCUUCCUGCCCCAGCAAAUCAGCAGAACAGUCAGGCAGCACCAGCUCAGGUUGGAAACAGAGCAUGUUUCCACUGUGGAGAGCAAGGCCACUGGGUGAUGCAAUGUCCGAAGAAGGCAGCCCAGCAGCAGUCAGGCCCCAAUGCCCCAGCAAAGCAGAAUGUGUCUCAGCCUGGAGCAGGCAAUCGCCCUCUGCCGCGCUAUAAUCAUGGAAGGCUGAACCACUUGGAGGCUGAAGCAGUUCAGGAGACCCCCGGCAUGAUAGUAGGUAUGUUCCCAGUCGACUCCCAUAUUGCAGAAGUGUUAUUUGAUACUGGAGCAACGCAUUCUUUCAUUACUGCAUCAUGGGUAGAAGCACAUAAUCUUCCAACUACUACCAUGUCAACCCCCAUUCAAAUUUACUCAGCCGGUGGUAGAAUUCGAGCCGAUAGCAUUUGUUUGAAUAUAAGUGUGAAAAUAAGGGGGAUAGCGUUUCCCGCCAACCUUAUAGUAAUGGGUACUCAGGGAAUAGAUGUCAUCCUAGGGAUGAAUUGGCUAGAUAAGUAUCAGGCAGUUAUCAGUUGUGAUAAAAGGACAAUAAAGUUGGUGUCCCCACUAGGAGAGGAAGUGGUGACCGAGUUAGUCCCGCCUGAGCCAAAGAAAGGAAGUUGUUAUCAGAUAGUUGUUGAUAGCAGUGAAGCAGACCCGAUCGAGAGCAUCAAGGUUGUGUCUGAAAUCCCAGAUGUGUUUCCAAAGGACUUACCGGGUAUGCCACCAGAGCGGAAAGUUGAGUUUGCUAUAGAGCUUCUUCCUGGAACCGCCCCUAUCUUUAAGAGAGCUUACAGAAUAUCUGGACCAGAGUUGGAUGAGCUUAAGAAGCAAAUUGAUGAGCUGUCAGAGAAAGGUUACAUUCGGCCAAGCACCUCGCCUUGGGCCGCCCCUGUCCUAUUUGUGGAGAAGAAAGAUGGCACCAAGAGGAUGUGUAUUGAUUAUCGAGCUUUGAAUGAGGUCACGAUCAAGAACAAGUACCCCUUGCCCAGAAUAGAAGAUCUGUUCGACCAGUUGAGAGGAGCCAGUGUGUUCUCCAAGAUUGAUCUGAGGUCAGGUUAUCAUCAGCUCAGGAUCCGACCUUCGGACAUUCCGAAGAUGGCAUUCAUUUCCAAGUAUGGGUUGUAUGAGUUCACGGUGAUGUCAUUUGGUUUGACCAAUGCGCCAGCGUUCUUCAUGAACUUGAUGAACAGUGUAUUCAUGGAUUACCUUGAUAAGUUUGUGGUGGUAUUCAUUGAUGACAUUCUGAUUUAUUCCCAAAGCGAAGAAGAGCACGCAGAUCAUUUGAGGAUGGUAUUGCAGAGAUUGCGAGAGCACCAGUUGUACGCAAAGUUGAGCAAGUGUGAGUUCUGGAUCAGUGAAGUCCUGUUCUUGGGUCACGUAAUCAACAAGGAAGGAUUGGCUGUGGAUCCGAAGAAAGUGGCGGACAUUUUGAACUGGAAAGCGCCAACAGAUGCUAGAGGAAUCAAGAGUUUCAUUGGAAUGGCCGGAUAUUAUCGGUGAUUCAUUGAAGGGUUUUCGAAGAUUGCGAAACCAAUGACAGCGUUGCUAGGCAACAAAGUUGAGUUCAAGUGGACCCAGAAAUGUCAAGAGGCCUUUGAAGCGCUGAAAGAGAAGUUGACUACAGCGCCUGUCCUAGUCUUGCCCAAUGUGCACAAGCCCUUUUCGGUGUAUUGUGAUGCUUGUUACACAGGUUUGGGAUGUGUGUUGAUGCAAGAGGGAAGAGUUGUGGCUUACUCGUCCCGACAGCUGAAGGUUCAUGAGAAGAACUACCCAAUCCAUGACCUAGAGUUGGCAGCAGUGGUUCACGCACUGAAGACAUGGAGGCACUAUCUGUAUGGACAGAAAUGCGAUGUUUACACAGACCACAAGAGUCUGAAGUACAUAUUCACUCAGUCAGAGUUGAACAUGAGGCAACGAAGAUGGUUAGAGCUGAUCAAAGACUAUGAGUUGGAGAUUCAUUACCAUCCAGGCAAAGCAAACGUAGUGGCAGAUGCUUUAAGCAGAAAAGGUCAAGUCAAUCUGAUGGUUGCUCGUCCGAUGCCUUAUGAGUUGGCCAAGGAGUUCGACAGGUUGAGUCUCGGAUUUCUGAACAAUUCGCGAGGAGUCACAGUUGAGUUGGAACCUACCUUGGAGCGCGAAAUCAAAGAAGCGCAGAAGAAUGAUGAAAAGAUCAGUGAGAUUCGGCGACUGAUUCUAGAAGGCAAAGGCAAAGAUUUUCGAGAAGAUGCAGAAGGCGUGAUAUGGUUCAAAGACCGCUUAUGUGUUCCCAAUGUCCAGUCCAUUCGGGAGUUGAUUCUUAAGGAAGCUCAUGAGACAGCUUAUUCGAUUCACCCUGGCAGUGAGAAGAUGUAUCAGGAUCUGAAGAGGAAAUUCUGGUGGUAUGGAAUGAAGAGGGAAAUCGCAGAGCAUGUGGCUAUGUGCGAUAGUUGCCAAAGAAUUAAGGCAGAGCACCAGAGACCUGCUGGAUUGUUGCAACCGUUGCAGAUCCCUCAGUGGAAAUGGGAUGAAAUUGGUAUGGAUUUCAUAGUCGGAUUGCCUCGCACUCGAGCCGGCUACGAUUCUAUUUGGGUAGUGGUGGACCGUUUGACCAAGUCAGCCCACUUCAUACCUGUCAAGACCAGCUACAACAGUGCAGUAUUGGCAGAGUUGUACAUGUCUCGGAUCGUUUGUCUUCAUGGUGUGCCAAAGAAGAUAGUGUCAGACAGAGGAACGCAGUUCACCUCUCAUUUCUGGCAGCAGUUGCAUGAAGCCUUGGGCACACAUCUGAAUUUCAGUUCAGCUUAUCACCCGCAGACAGAUGGUCAGACUGAAAGAACCAAUCAAAUUCUUGAAGACAUGUUGAGAGCCUAUGCGUUGCAAGAUCAGUCCGGAUGGGACAAGCGAUUGCCUUAUGCAGAGUUUUCCUAUAACAACAGUUACCAGGCCAGUUUGAAGAUGUCACCAUUUCAGGCGCUCUAUGGAAGGAGUUGCAGAACUCCGCUGCAAUGGGAUCAGCCUGGAGAAAAGCAAGUGUUUGGGCCAGACAUUUUGCUUGAAGCCGAAGAGAACAUCAAGAUGGUUCGAGAGAAUCUGAAGAUAGCGCAAUCGAGGCAGCGAAGCUAUGCAGACACAAGAAGAAGAGAGCUGAGUUUUGAAGUCGGAGAUUUUGUCUAUCUGAAAGUGUCACCGAUCAGAGGAGUCAGAAGAUUCGGAGUGAAAGGCAAGCUAGCACCCCGCUACAUUGGUCCGUAUCAAAUUCUCUCAAAGCGUGGAGAAGUGGCUUAUCAGCUCAGCCUGCCAGAGAAUUUGUCUGCUGUGCAUGAUGUCUUUCAUGUGUCUCAGUUGAAGAAGUGCUUGCGUGUGCCAGAAGAGCAGUUGCCAGUGGAAGGUCUUGAGGUCCAGGAGGACUUGACCUAUGUUGAGAAGCCAGCUCAGAUCCUUGAGAUUGCAGACAGAGUCACCCGAAGGAAGACCAUCAGAAUGUGCAAAGUCAGAUGGAAUCACCACUCUGAGGAAGAAGCAACCUGGGAGCGUGAAGAUGAUCUAGUGGCCAAGUACCCAGAGCUCUUUGCUAGCGAGCCCUGAAUCUCGAGGGCGAGAUUCUUUUAAGGGGGAUAGGUUUGUAACGCCCCGAAUUUUGCAGUUGAAUUUUUUUCUUUUCUUUACUCGCCAAAAUUCGGGCGUUACCUUUUCUUUUUCUUUUUCCCUUCGCUAAACCUUGACCUUUUCCAAAGUUCUAGCGGGAUUCGGUUUGGAAUUCCCGUGUAAGAAAAACCCUAAAUACUUUAUGUUGUUUGAUGCACCAUGCCGAACCUUGCAUUUCUUUUGAUUGCUUUGAAAGCGCAAUUGCAUUCAUGUAGAAAGAUCGGAUUUCGAAAAUGAGGAGAAGAUCUUUUCUUUCUUUUUUCUCUCUCUCUUUCUCUCUCCUCUUUUUCUCUCUCUCCCGCGCCGUGGGCCGACCCCGGCCGGCCCAGCCGCCCCUGGCGCCCCCUCUUGGGCCCAAAAAGGCCCAGCCGCCCCCCCCCUCAUCCCCCCUUUUUUCCCCAAACCCUCUCCCUCUCCCUCGCACAAACCAAGCCAUCAGCGCCAUGGAGAUCUCCACCUGGUGCGCGCGCCUCCUCCUACCUCCCAGAUCCGCGCGCUGAACCAAAACGGCCCGGCCGGUGCUCGCGGGUAUAAAACCUCCAGCCGCGAGCCUCUCGCCCUCUGUUGGGCAUAUCUAGAGCACCACGAGACCGCUAAGAAAGGAGUGAAAUGCCAGCGGUCGUCGGAGGGCCGAUUCUGCGAUUCCAAGACGUCCGUGACUCCCUGGCCAACACCGUCGCGUCCCAUCAUCGGGUGAAGCUGUCUCUGCGGCUUGGGUGCGCGGAGGGUUCCUCAGAGCACCUCAAUUUCGCAUUGACGACCUCGUCGCCGCCGUGAAGUCAUUCACACCGUGGUCAAGCAUUUCGGCCACACCAUUACCGGUUAGGACUUCACCAUUUGGUUCGCCUUAUCUUGUUGUGCAUUUAAGUCGGGGGAAUUUGGGAUUAGUGCUCGGGCGUACGGGCGUGGCUCUCGCCGGCUGGGCGCCACCGUGGUCUGGGGUGCGCCACCGUGGUGAUGCCAUCAGCGGGAGAGAUGAGCUGAUGACCGUCGAUCCGAGUGCCGACGGUCGGGAUUAGAUUAGAAAUAACCUUUCGCUAAGGGAAAAUCUGACCGCUCAAUUUGGAUUGGACGGCCAUGGUGAGUCGAAGCCUAAUAAAAUCAGGGGCGUUGGAUCGAGAUUGGGCGGUUCUGCGUCGUCCGUGAAUUCAUAAUGCACUGGAUCUAAUCUCGAUCGUCCAUCUCAGAUCGUAUGGCCUAGAAUGUGCGAUACCCUUUCGCCGUGGCAAUAUUACUGAAGAGACCCCGUAGAACCCGAUAAACAACCCGCCGUCCCCUCGGAGUAUUUACUGAGUCUGAGUACCUUUUUGGUUAAGUCCCUGUGUUUUCGGCUAAUAGUAGGCGCAGUCCAGUGAAUAGAAAAGACAGGAAAAAGAAAUAGAAAUCUAUUUUUAAUAUAAAAAUAAUGACUAGAGUUUGUUUAAUUCAUAUAAAAUUCAUAGGGUGUCCAAAUUAAUCCAUUUCAAUUGCUAUAAUUUUAUAAUAAUGUUGUUUAUCACCUAAUGUCACUGUUUUUACAUGAAAACAGUAAGAAAAUUAAUUCCUCAUCUAAUCCUAUUUUAAUCACAUUAAACCUUAGGAAAUUCAUAACUUGAAUUCUAUAACUCCAAAUUUAGUGAUUCCAGUUCCUAUGAUCUCAUUUUAAUGUGUAGAUUUUUACUGUGUAUUUUAUUUACAUGUUUGGUGUGAUGUUGAUUUUGGCUAUACUAUGUAUGUAUUGUGUUGAUGCGAGUAGACGAGCAAGCCACUGUGGAAUCUGAGGUUCAGCAGGUAGAGAUAGCUGAGCAGGAGCUCAUUGAAGGCAAGUUGUGCCCUUGAUCACUUACUUUUCCCAGCCAUGUUCUUAUUAAUUUUAAUGAUCUGCAUAGGUUAAUUUUGAUGGGAUCCUUUAGGUUACCCCAGUUUUGGUUAUCUUUAUACCUUGUUCACCCCUGAAAUAUUUUUGGGUAGUACCUGCUAUUGCUAUAUGUGGAUUGGGUAUGGAGAUACACUAUUCAUGAUUAUUCUGUUAUUAUCUUGUUAUUAUUAUUGUUCAUGUUAAGAUCAUUAAAUUAAUGGGAACAUGGAGCGACCACCCGGGAAAACAGUGCUACCACAAGGGUUUAAUGGGACGCCCUUGGCUAAUUAACUAGGAAAGCUAGUGGAGGUCUUCCUUACCCGAAAGGGGCAAGGGCAGUAGGGGAGUGGUCAGUGUAGGGAGGUCCUUGUUUGAUUUUGCUGCGAUGGCGGUCAGGCAAGAACCCUGCACUGGAGCUUCCUAUAAACUGUAGCGGGAUUUCUGAAGCUAGUGGAACUUUGUAAAGGCCUCGUAGUGUUACCCUGCCUCGCCUCCUCGGUAGAGGUGUAUGGGAUUGGCCAUCUCUUGGCAGAUGGGUAACAUGACUUGUGGGUAAAGAUGCGCAACCUCUGCAGAGUGUAAAACUGGUAUACUAGCCGUGCUCACGGUCAUGAGCGGCUCGGACCCUCACAUGAUUAAUUAUGGAACUUAAAUUCAAUUUGACAUUUGCAUCGCAUUUGGGAUUAUUUUACUAUUACUUUUCUUUAUUAUUAUUAAGGUUUGGUAUUUACUUACACUUAGUAAUUGCUAAUAAAAUUUUGACCAACUUAUAAAAGCAAUGCUCAGCCUCAGCCUUUAUUUCAUUGAUCAGCCUUACACUUCAUGAACUCCCACCUUUGGUGAGUUCAUGUCACAUUAUUCCCCACAACUUGUUGAGCGAUGAACAUGUGUGAGCUCACCCUUGCUGUCUCACACCCCCCCCCACAGGAGAAGAACAGGUGGUCGAAGAGGAGUCGCCUAACACUGAGGCAUUCGACUUGAUCUAGGUGGCGUUUCUCAGUCGACAUUGGCGCCGACGAUCCUUAGUUCGUUUUAUAUUUACUCUUUUAUUUUGUAAUAAGACUUCCGCUAUGUAAUAAAUACUCUGAUGAUUGUGACAUUUAUCUCUAUACACUCUGUUAUUAUAUGUGUUGUCUUCUUGGCGCAUGUAUGAGAUGCACCCGGCUUUGUCCUUUAAAGCCGGGUGUGACACGUGGGCCGACCCCGGCCGGCCCAGCCGCCCCUGGCGCCCCCUCUUGGGCCCAAAAAGGCCCAGCCGCCCCCCCCUCAUCCCCCCUUUUUUCCCCAAACCCUCUCCCUCUCCCUCUCAUUUUCUCUCAUUUUCUCUCCCCCACCCUAAGCCGCCGCCGCCUCUACCCCCUGCCCUAAGCCGUCGCCGCCCCCUGCUCGGCCGCCGCUCCCCGCCGUCGGCCGCCCCCGCCGGUGAGCCCCCCCUCUCCUCCCUCUCUCCCUCCUCCCUCCCUCUCCCCUCUCCCCUCCUCCCUCCCCUUGGCAACCCAGCCGCCCGGCCCCCUGGCCGCGCGCCCUGGCCGGCCGCUGCCGCCCCCUGGCCGCGCGCCCAGGCCGGCCGCUGCCGCGCCCUGGCCUCGCCCAGCCGGCCGCUGCCGCGCCCUGGCCGGUCCCGGCCGCCCCCAGCCCGCCCUCGGCCGCCCGCCCUGGCCGCGCCCCCUGCGCAGGGCCGGUUCAACCGCCCCCCCUCUGUUUUUUUUAUUUUUUUAUUUUAUUUUAUUUACUUUCUGUGAUCAUAGCUAUUUUAUUUUAGGUAAGCUAAUCAUUGUUCAUGCCAUUGAAAUAGGAAGUUUAAUUUAAAAUUCCGUUAUGCUAGUUGAUUCAUGUAGUUAAUUGUUUACCUCGUGCAAUGUUGAUCAACUUAAAAUGAUUAGGUUUCCAUUAGUGUAUAUGUAACAGAAUUCUUUUGUUAAGAACCAAUUGUAAUUGAUCGUUAGUGCAUAAGAUUUAACCCCCUGCGAGACCCUUUCCCGUUUCUUUCUAACCAUAACAAAUGCGAUAUCGAAUGUCAUACUUGAUGCAUACUCACUUUAUUUGUUCCCUUGUAUGGUGUACUGUUCUUUUGUAUUAAAUGUGGAUGGAUGUAUGUAUGUUUGCAAUCGCAUAGAGAACGAUCCGGUCGAAGAGCCCGAGGAAUUCGCAGGAGAAGCCCCUGAGCAGCAGUCGGGUGGUGGAGGCAAGUGUCCUUUGACCUAUCUCUGUCCUAUUCAUUAUUUAAUUCACCUCCCGCAUUACACCUUUAUACCUAAGGAUUGACUAGCUUUUGUUAUCCAUGUCCUUGUUUACCUAUUUGGGUUGGAUUAUUACUGUUUAGCUUUAUGCUAUUGCUCAACUCUAAUCAAUGAACAUGAUGAGAUUAUCUAUGAUACGCUGUUUUCCCUUCUCUUAUUAUGAUGUUGUACUUGUGGUAUUCAAGGGGGCUCGAGCGGUUUCUCGAGUGCCUCUCCGUAAGGACCUGUUCUAUGGAUGACCGCCCGGGAAAAUAGUGCAACCAUGAGGGUGGAAUGGGAUGCCCUUAGCUGAAUAAUUAGAGGAUCCGGGGUGUAGUUCACUUAGCCGUCGUGCCGUCAAUGGGGCUCGGUGUAUGCGGCUCGCUCUGCCAAGUUUGGGUUCGCCCCUUGGGGAGGAGUGCGGUGCAUUUAGGAAACCUAACGGGUGGCUACAGCCCCGGGGAAUCUUUGUAAAGGCUACGUAGUGAAACCCUGCCUAUUCACCUUGGUAGUGUUUAAGGGUUUGAUCGGCCCGAGGCAAGAGGGAAUCACGGCUUGUGGGUAAAGUGCACAACCUCUGCAGAGUGUUAUGAAACUGAUAUAUCAGCCGUGCUCGCGGUUAUGAGCGGCCAAGGGAGCUCCAGUGAUUAGUGGUACUUGAUAAGAGACCUUUUGGUUUACAGGUGGCAAUGAGAUUGAUGGUUUUGGUUAUGACUAUGGUGCUGGUAAGUGGUAUUCUUUCCGUUUGGAGAGGGUACAUCGGGUUAAUAACUUGGGUUAAUGCUAAAACUUGGCUUUCUACUAGUAAAUAAUAAUCUGACCAACUAAAAGCAACUGCUUGACUUAUCCCCACAUAAAGCUAGUCCACUACAGCCAAACAGGAUACUUGCUGAGUAUGUUGAUGUGUACUCACCCUUGCUCUACACACCAAACCCCCCCCCCAGGUUGUCAGCAUUGCAACCACUGCUCAGGCGAAGAUGAAGCUGUGGAAGGAGACUUCCAGGAGUUCCAAGACUACGACGAGUUCUAGGUGUGGGUUAGCGGCAACCCCCAGUCGGCUGCCUGUGAAGGCCGCGUUAUCUACGUUUCUUUUCCGCACUUUGAUUUAUUGUAAGAACUAUAUGGACGUCUCAGACGUAUGAUGUAAUCGACUAUUUCCCUUAUUAAUACUAUUUUGAGCACUGUGUGAUGAUGUCCAUAUUAUGUAACUUCUGUGUACGUGAAUAACUGAUCCUGGCACGUACAUGGUUCGCAUUCGGUUUGCCUUCUAAAACCGGGUGUGACACUAUUGCUCAAACUCUAAUCAAUGAACAUGAUGAGAUUAUCUAUGAUACGCUGUUUUCCCCUCUCUUAUUAUGAUGUUAUGCUUGUGGUCUUCAAGGGGGCUCGAGCGGUUUCUCGAGUGCCUCUCCGUAAGGACCUGUUCUAUGGAUGACCGCCCGGGAAAACAGUGCAACCAUGAGGGUAGAAUGGGGUGCCCUUAGCUGAAUAAUUAGAGGAUCCGGGGUGUAGUUCACUUAGCCGUCGUGCCGUCAAUGGGGCUCGGUGUAUGCGGCUCGCUCUGCCAAGUUUGGGUUCGCCCCUUGGGGAGGAGUGCGGUGCAUUUAGGAAACCUAACGGGUGGCUACAGCCCCGGGGAAUCUUUGUAAAGGCUACGUAGUGAUGCCCUGCUAGGCCACCUAGGUAGUGGUCAAUGGGGAGUAGCUCUCUCCGGGCAGAAUGGGAAUCACGGCUUGUGGGUAAAGUGCACAACCUCUGCAGAGUGUUUGAAAACUGAUAUAUCAGCCGUGCUCGCGGUUAUGAGCAGCCAAGGGAGCUCCAGAGAUUAGUGAUACUUGAUCAGAGAUACUUUGGUACAGGUGACAAUGAGAUUGAUGGUUCUGAUUACGAUUAUGGUAUUGGUAAGUGGUAUUCUUUCCGUUUGGAAAGGAUACAUUGGGCUAAUAACUUGGGUUAAUGUUAAAACCUGGCUUUCUACUAAUAAGUAAUAACCUGACCAACUAAAAGCAACUGCUUGACUUAUCCCCACAUAAAGCUAGUCCACUACAGCCAAACAGGAUACUUGCUGAGUAUGUUGAUGUGUACUCACCCUUGCUCUACACACCAAACCCCCCCCCAGGUUGUCAGCAUUGCAACCACUGCUCAGGCGAAGAUGAAGCUGUGGAAGGAGACUUCCAGGAGUUCCAAGACUACGACGAGUUCUAGGUGUGGGUUAGCGGCAACCCCCAGUCGGCUGCCUGUGAAGGCCGCGUUAUCUACGUUUCUUUUCCGCACUUUGAUUUAUUGUAAGGACUAUAUGGACAUCUCAGACGUAUGAUGUAAUCGACUAUUUCCCUUAUUAAUACUAUUUUGAGCACUGUGUGAUGAUGUCCAUAUUAUGUAACUGCUGUGUACGUGAAUAACUGAUCCUGGCACGUACAUGGUUCGCAUUCGGUUUGCCUUCUAAAACUGGGUGUGACAUAAGUGGUAUCAAAGCCGUGCUGACUGUAGGACCGCUAACCUAGAGUAGAAUGGUCGUUCUAAGGACUAUAGACCUCUGUCCCUUCCUUGACUUUGUCAUCCCUUCAAAAGUUGGUCAUACCGACCAAACCUAUGUUCUACUAUAUAUUAUACCUUGCUGAAAAACAUGUUUUAUUCUAAUCCUUCAUUCACUUAUGGUUCAUUAUUUGCUGGUCAUAUUGAUUCUGUUCUCACCCUUUUGCUUGCGAUGUCUUUUGUAGAUGGCUAGACUUAGACACACUGCACGUAAGUCAGUCAUCCCCUUCUUACCCUCCCGCCUUGCUGAGCGUCCGCUUCGCCGUCCCGUGGCCGGACAGUCCAGCCACUUGGAGAGACUACACCACCGCCUGCGUGAGGAGCAGGAACGUCGACGACAGGAGCAGCAGAGCUCUUCUUUCUCGCUCCACCAGGAGAUAGAGUCUGUGAGGAGCUGCUCUCCUGUGCUUCCUCUGGAGGCGCCCCCUGCACCACCACUGGGCGCCCCAGCUUCUGGAGUAGCUGCUGGAGGAGACCCAGACGACGGAGAUGGCGACGACAGCUCGAGCCACGACACCGACUUCUCUGCUAACCCUGAGCCGGAAGGAUGGGUUGCUCGACCCAUCACUCGCGACGCUGCUCGCGGUGUCACUUCCACGAUGCGCUCGACACCCUGCUACGUCGGGCAUUCGACCGGCAUACUUGGUCCGUCGAGUAUCGCUGUGUGGUCUACCAGCAUAGUCGUGGGGUCUACCCGGACCGCUGGGAGGCGACUUGCUUGGUGCGCUGCCCGGAGGACAGUCUCCAGGGUGCAGAGGCCUGCUCAGAGCACUAUUCUAUCUCUGAACGGGACUCAGCUGAGGCAGCCAUGCAAGAUGCUGCACGGCGUGCGCUUUCGCACUACUGCUCGGUUUUCGGUGGGGCAGCUGACGGUCUUGACCUGAAGUAUUACCCCCGCCGUCCAUCUGGCAGCACAGGAGGCGUGAUUGUCUCACCUGUCGGUGAGGGCAAUCCUAGGUUGAGCAGCACAGUCAACCUAGCCGCCGUGCUAAACACGGAGCUGGACCAUGCAUUAGAUGAGCUGAGUAGGGCUCGUGCUGAGAUCGCCCUGCUGCGGGCUGAGCGCGCGGAACGUCGUCAUCUGGAUGGUGGUUCCCCCGCUCCCGUCGGGACUCAGCACCCGUACCGCUCACCUCAGCGUGGACACCAGUCUUAUGGCAAUCCCGACUGCAAGACCAAGAUAACUCUAGAACCAUAGAUCGUUAGAGUUGGGUCUUGUAAUUAAUACGAAAUAUAUACGUAGAAGCUUCAGUCUUAGCGUUAGUCUCGGUCUUAGUUAGUCUUAGUUAGACAGGGUAGUUUGCUAUAUCCUGUGCAUUUAUGAUUGUCAUGAUGAACUAUGUUUGGUUUGGAUCUUUGUAAUGGCUGUUACCAGAGUGUGGGUAUCCCCUGCAUUUUGGUUUAUCUAUUAUGUUAAUGGAGUUAGUUAUAUAGUUGGGAAACCUUUUAUUCCACUCUCCUCUUUAUCUGAGAAGCUGUGUGGUCUGUGUUGGAGAUCAGUGAAGAUGCUCAUCUGUUCAGUGCUGUUGAAGAAUUCAAUACUCUUUUCUUAUGCUGCAAGAUUUGCCAGAUCAGUUUUGAUGAGUGGUUGCAUUCUGCAGAUGUCAGAGAACAGGCGCAGAGGAGGAAGGCGUGCUCAGCAGGAGCGAGCCGCUCAACAGGAAGAGGUGCCCCAGCAGCAGCACCUGCCGCCCCCGCCCCCGAUGUCCAUCGAGCAGAUGUUUCUGAUGCAAACUCAGGCAGUUCAAGCCAUCGGUCAGACUUUGGCCGCCAUUCAGCAGCAGCAGCAGCAACAGCAGCAAGCACCACCCCAGCCUCAGAUGCCCAGAGACAAGCGUGCUGAAUUCAUGAGAGGUCAUCCCCCAACGUUCGCUCACUCUUCUGACCCUAUGGAUGCUGAAGAUUGGCUGCGCACUGUGGAGCGGGAGUUGCAUACCGCUCAGUGUGAUGACAGGGAGAAAGUCUUGUAUGGUCCCCGUCUGUUGAGAGGAGCAGCCCAAUCAUGGUGGGAGUCUUACCUCGCCACCCAUGCCCACCCUGACGCCAUCACCUGGGAAGAGUUCAGAGGUAGCUUUCGUCAGUACCAUGUUCCUGCAGGUCUGAUGACAGUGAAGAAGGAGGAGUUCCUGGCCCUUAAGCAAGGGUCAUCAUCUGUCAGUGAAUACCGAGACAGAUUUCUGCAAUUGUCUCGCUAUGCUCCUGAAGAUGUCAACACCGACGCCAAGCGACAGUACCGUUUCCUGAGAGGCUUGGUUGACCUUCUGCAGUACCAACUGAUGAAUCACACCUUCCCGACAUUCCAGCACCUGAUUGAUAGAGCGAUCAUGACAAAAAGGAAGCGUAAGGAGAUGGAAGAUCGUAAGCGCAAGAUCAGUGGACCCCAGCCUGGAAGCAGCAGUCGCCCUCGUUUUUCAGGCAAUCAACCUCAGCAGUUCAGGCAGAACCAGCGUCCACCUCAGCAGCGUCAGCAGCAUCAGCAGUUCCCAAGGCAGUAUCCUCAGCACCAGUACAAGAACCGCCAGAGCAAUCAGUCAGGAGGUCAGUUUCAAAGGCAGAAUCAGCAGGCACCUCGUCUUCCUGCCCCAGCAAACCAGCAGAACAGUCAGGCAGCACCAGCUCAGGUUGGAAACAGGGCAUCUUUCCACUGUGGAGAGCAGGGCCAUUGGGUGAUGCAAUGUCCGAAGAAGGCAGCCCAGCAGCAGUCAGGCCCCAAUGCCCCAGCAAAGCAGAAUGUGUCUCAGCCUGGAGCAGGCAACCGCCCUCAACAGCGCUAUAAUCAUGGAAGAUUGAAUCACUUGGAGGCUGAAGCAGUUCAGGAGACCCCCGGCAUGAUAGUAGGUAUGUUCCCAGUCGACUCCCAUAUUGCAGAAGUGUUAUUUGAUACUGGAGCAACGCAUUCUUUCAUUACUGCAUCAUGGGUAGAAGCACAUAAUCUUCCAACUACUACCAUGUCAACCCCCAUUCAAAUUGACUCAGCUGGUGGUAGAAUUCGAGCUGAUAGCAUUUGUUUAAAUAUAAGUGUGGAAAUAAGGGGGAUAGCGUUUCCCGCCAACCUUAUAGUAAUGGGUACUCAGGGAAUAGAUGUCAUCCUAGGGAUGAAUUGGUUAGAUAAGUAUCAGGCAGUUAUCAGUUGUGAUAAAAGGACAAUCAAGUUGGUGUCCCCACUAGGAAAGGAAGUGGUGACCGAGUUAGUCCCACCUGAGCCGAAGAAAGGAAGUUGUUAUCAGAUGGCGGUCGAUAGCAGUGAAGCAGAUCCAGUUGAGAGUAUCAAGGUUGUGUCUGAAUUCCCAGAUGUGUUUCCAAAGGAUUUACCGGGUAUGCCACCAGAGCGGAAAGUUGAGUUUGCUAUAGAGCUUCUUCCUGGAACCGCCCCUAUUUUCAAGAGAGCUUACAGAAUAUCUGGACCAGAGUUGGAUGAACUUAAGAAGCAAAUUGAUGAGCUGUCAGAGAAAGGUUACAUUCGGCCAAGCACCUCGCCUUGGGCCGCCCCUGUCCUAUUUGUGGAGAAGAAAGAUGGCACCAAGAGGAUGUGUAUCGAUUAUCGAGCUUUGAAUGAGGUCACGAUCAAGAACAAGUAUCCUUUGCCCAGAAUAGAGGAUCUGUUCGACCAAUUGAGAGGAGCCAGUGUGUUCUCCAAGAUAGAUCUGAGGUCAGGUUAUCAUCAGCUCAGGAUCCGACCGUCGGACAUUCCGAAGACGGCAUUUAUUACCAAGUAUGGGUUGUAUGAGUUCACAGUGAUGUCUUUUGGUUUGACCAAUGCGCCAGCGUUCUUCAUGAACUUGAUGAACAGUGUAUUCAUGGAUUAUCUCGAUAAGUUUGUGGUGGUAUUCAUUGAUGACAUUCUGGUUUAUUCUCAAAGCGAAGAAGAGCACGCAGAUCAUUUGAGGAUGGUAUUGCAGAGAUUGCGAGAGCACCAGUUGUAUGCAAAGUUGAGUAAGUGUGAGUUCUGGAUCAGUGAAGUCUUGUUUUUGGGUCACAUAAUCAACAAGGAAGGAUUGGCUGUGGAUCCGAAGAAAGUGGCAGACAUUUUGAACUGGAAAGCGCCAACAGAUGCUAGAGGAAUCAAGAGUUUCAUUGGAAUGGCCGGAUAUUAUCGGCGAUUCAUUGAAGGGUUUUCGAAGAUUGCGAAACCUAUGACAGCGUUGCUAGGCAACAAAGUUGAGUUCAAGUGGACCCAGAAAUGCCAAGAGGCCUUUGAAGCGCUGAAAGAGAAGUUGACUACAGCGCCUGUCCUAGUCUUGCCUGAUGUGCACAAGCCCUUCUCGGUGUAUUGUGAUGCUUGCUACACAGGUUUGGGAUGUGUGUUGAUGCAAGAGGGAAGAGUUGUGGCUUACUCGUCCCGACAGUUGAAGGUUCAUGAGAAGAAUUACCCAAUCCAUGAUCUAGAGUUGGCAGCAGUGGUUCAUGCACUGAAGACAUGGAGGCACUAUCUGUAUGGACAGAAAUGCGAUGUUUACACAGAUCACAAGAGUCUGAAGUACAUAUUCACUCAGUCAGAGUUGAACAUGAGGCAACGAAGAUGGUUAGAGCUGAUCAAAGACUAUGAGUUGGAGAUUCAUUACCAUCCAGGCAAAGCAAACGUAGUGGCAGAUGCUUUGAGCAGAAAGAGUCAAGUCAAUCUGAUGGUCGCUCGCCCGAUGCCUUAUGAGUUGGCCAAGGAGUUCGACAGGUUGAGUCUCGGGUUUCUGAACAAUUCGCGAGGAGUCACAGUUGAAUUGGAACCUACCUUGGAGCGUGAAAUCAAAGAAGCGCAGAAGAAUGAUGAGAAGAUCAGUGAGAUUCGGCAAUUGAUUCUAGAUGGCAGAGGCAAAGAUUUUCGAGAAGAUGCUGAAGGCGUGAUAUGGUUCAAAGACCGCUUGUGUGUUCCCAAUGUCCAGUCCAUUCGGGAGUUGAUUCUCAAGGAAGCUCAUGAGACAGCCUAUUCGAUUCACCCUGGCAGUGAGAAGAUGUAUCAGGAUCUGAAAAAGAAAUUCUGGUGGUACGGAAUAAAAAGGGAAAUCGCAGAGCAUGUGGCUAUGUGCGAUAGUUGCCGAAGAAUUAAGGCAGAGCACCAGAGACCAGCUGGAUUGUUGCAACCGUUGCAGAUCCCUCAGUGGAAAUGGGAUGAAAUUGGUAUGGAUUUCAUAGUCGGAUUGCCUCGCACUCGAGCCGGCUACGAUUCCAUUUGGGUAGUAGUGGACCGCUUGACCAAGUCAGCCCACUUCAUACCUGUCAAGACCAGCUACAACAGUGCAGUAUUGGCAGAGUUGUAUAUGUCUCGGAUCGUUUGUCUUCAUGGUGUGCCAAAGAAGAUAGUGUCAGACAGAGGAACGCAGUUCACCUCUCAUUUCUGGCAGCAGUUGCAUGAAGCUUUGGGCACGCAUCUGAAUUUCAGUUCAGCUUAUCAUCCGCAGACAGAUGGCCAGACCGAAAGAAUCAAUCAAAUUCUCGAAGACAUGUUGAGAGCCUGUGCGUUGCAAGAUCAGUCCGGAUGGGACAAGAGAUUGCCUUAUGCGGAGUUUUCCUAUAACAACAGUUAUCAGGCCAGUUUGAAGAUGUCACCAUUUCAGGCGCUCUAUGGAAGGAGUUGUAGAACUCCGUUGCAAUGGGAUCAGCCUGGAGAAAAGCAAGUGUUUGGGCCAGACAUUUUGCUUGAAGCCGAAGAGAACAUCAAGAUGGUCCGAGAGAAUCUGAAGAUAGCGCAAUCGAGGCAGCGAAGCUAUGCAGACACAAGAAGAAGAGAGCUGAGUUUCGAAGUCGGAGACUUUGUCUAUCUGAAAGUGUCACCGAUCAGAGGAGUCAGAAGAUUCGGAGUGAAAGGCAAGCUAGCACCCCGCUACAUUGGUCCGUAUCAGAUUCUUGCAAGACGUGGAGAAGUGGCCUAUCAGCUCAGUUUGCCCGAGAAUUUGUCUGCUGUGCAUGAUGUAUUUCAUGUGUCUCAGCUGAAGAAGUGCUUGCGUGUGCCAGAAGAGCAGUUGCCAGUGGAAGGUCUUGAAGUCCAGGAGGACUUGACCUACGUUGAGAAGCCAGUGCAGAUCCUUGAGAUUGCAGAUAGAGUCACCGAAGGAAGACCAUCAGAAUGUGCAAAGUCAGAUGGGAUCAUCACUCUGAGGAAGAAGCAACCUGGGAGCGUGAAGAUGAUCUGAUGGCCAAGUACCCUGAGCUCUUUGCUAGCCAGCCCUGAAUCUCGAGGGCGAGAUUCUUUUAAGGGGGAUAGGUUUGUAACGCCCCGAAUUUUGCAGUUGAUUUUUUUCUUUUCUUUACUCGCCAAAAUUCGGGCGUUACCUUUUCUUUUUCUUUUUUCCCUCGCUAAACCUUGACCUUUUCCAAAGUUCUAGCGGGAUUCGGUUUGGAAUUCCCGUGUAAUGAAAAACCCUAAAUACUUUAUGUUGUUUGAUGCACCAUGCCGAACCUUGCAUUUCUUUUGAUUGCUUUGAAAGUGCAAAUGCAUUCAUGUAGAAAGAUCGGAUUUCGAAAAUGAGGAGAAGAUCUUUUCUUUCUUUUUCUCUCUCUUUCUCUCUCCUCUUUUUCUCUCUCUCCCGCGCCGUGGGCCGACCCCGGCCGGCCCAGCCGCCCUGGCGCCCCCUCUUGGGCCUUGGCAAGCCCAGCCGCCCCCCCCCCCCACCUCCCCUUUUCCCCUCAAUUCCCCUCCCCUCCCUCUCAUUUUCCCUCUCUCUCCCUAGCGCUGCCCCUACCCGCCCCUGCCCUAAGCCGCCGCCGCCGCCCUCGCCGCCCCCACUGCCGGCCGCCCCUCGCCGUCGCUCCCCAACCGGAGCCCCCCCCUCUCCCUCUCCCCUCCCNNNNNNNNNNNNNNNNNNNNNNNNNNNNNNNNNNNNNNNNNNNNNNNNNNNNNNNNNNNNNNNNNNNNNNNNNNNNNNNNNNNNNNNNNNNNNNNNNNNNNNNNNNNNNNNNNNNNNNNNNNNNNNNNNNNNNNNNNNNNNNNNNNNNNNNNNNNNNNNNNNNNNNNNNNNNNNNNNNNNNNNNNNNNNNNNNNNNNNNNNNNNNNNNNNNNNNNNNNNNNNNNNNNNNNNNNNNNNNNNNNNNNNNNNNNNNNNNNNNNNNNNNNNNNNNNNNNNNNNNNNNNNNNNNNNNNNNNNNNNNNNNNNNNNNNNNNNNNNNNNNNNNNNNNNNNNNNNNNNNNNNNNNNNNNNNNNNNNNNNNNNNNNNNNNNNNNNNNNNNNNNNNNNNNNNNNNNNNNNNNNNNNNNNNNNNNNNNNNNNNNNNNNNNNNNNNNNNNNNNNNNNNNNNNNNNNNNNNNNNNNNNNNNNNNNNNNNNNNNNNNNNNNNNNNNNNNNNNNNNNNNNNNNNNNNNNNNNNNNNNNNNNNNNNNNNNNNNNNNNNNNNNNNNNNNNNNNNNNNNNNNNNNNNNNNNNNNNNNNNNNNNNNNNNNNNNNNNNNNNNNNNNNNNNNNNNNNNNNNNNNNNNNNNNNNNNNNNNNNNNNNNNNNNNNNNNNNNNNNNNNNNNNNNNNNNNNNNNNNNNNNNNNNNNNNNNNNNNNNNNNNNNNNNNNNNNNNNNNNNNNNNNNNNNNNNNNNNNNNNNNNNNNNNNNNNNNNNNNNNNNNNNNNNNNNNNNNNNNNNNNNNNNNNNNNNNNNNNNNNNNNNNNNNNNNNNNNNNNNNNNNNNNNNNNNNNNNNNNNNNNNNNNNNNNNNNNNNNNNNNNNNNNNNNNNNNNNNNNNNNNNNNNNNNNNNNNNNNNNNNNNNNNNNNNNNNNNNNNNNNNNNNNNNNNNNNNNNNNNNNNNNNNNNNNNNNNNNNNNNNNNNNNNNNNNNNNNNNNNNNNNNNNNNNNNNNNNNNNNNNNNNNAGCUUUAUGCUAUUGCUCAAACUCUAAUCAAUGAACAUGAUGAGAUUAUCUAUGAUACGCUGUUUUCCCCUCUCUUAUUAUGAUGUUAUGCUUGUGGUCUUCAAGGGGGCUCGAGCGGUUUCUCGAGUGCCUCUCCGUAAGGACCUGUUCUAUGGAUAAUUAGAGGAUCCGGGAAAACAGUGCAACCAUGAGGGUAGAAUGGGGUGCCCUUAGCUGAAUAAUUAGAGGAUCCGGGGUGUAGUUCACUUAGCCGUCGUGCCGUCAAUGGGGCUCGGUGUAUGCGGCUCGCUCUGCCAAGUUUGGGUUCGCCCCUUGGGGAGGAGUGCGGUGCAUUUAGGAAACCUAACGGGUGGCUACAGCCCCGGGGAAUCUUCGUAAAGGCUACGUAGUGAUGCCCUGCUAGGCCACCUAGGUAGUGGUCAAUGGGGAGUAGCUCUCUCCGGGCAGAAUGGGAAUCACGGCUUGUGGGUAAAGUGCACAACCUCUGCAGAGUGUUUGAAAACUGAUAUAUCAGCCGUGCUCGCGGUUAUGAGCGGCCAAGGGAGCUCCAGAGAUUAGUGAUACUUGAUCAGAGAUACUUUGGUACAGGUGACAAUGAGAUUGAUGGUUCUGAUUACGAUUAUGGUAUUGGUAAGUGGUAUUCUUUCCGUUUGGAAAGGAUACAUUGGGCUAAUAACUUGGGUUAAUGUUAAAACCUGGCUUUCUACUAGUAAGUAAUAACCUGACCAACUAAAAGCAACUGCUUGACUUAUCCCCACAUAAAGCUAGUCCACUACAGCCAAACAGGAUACUUGCUGAGUAUGUUGAUGUGUACUCACCCUUGCUCUACACACCAAACCCCCCCAGGUUGUCAGCAUUGCAACCACUGCUCAGGCGAAGAUGAAGCUGUGGAAGGAGACUUCCAGGAGUUCCAAGACUACGACGAGUUCUAGGUGUGGGUUAGCGGCAACCCCCAGUCGGCUGCCUGUGAAGGCCGCGUUAUCUACGUUUCUUUUCCGCACUUUGAUUUAUUGUAAGGACUAUAUGGACGUCUCAGACGUAUGAUGUAAUCGACUAUUUCCCUUAUUAAUACUAUUUUGAGCACUGUGUGAUGAUGUCCAUAUUAUGUAACUGCUGUGUACGUGAAUAACUGAUCCUGGCACGUACAUGGUUCGCAUUCGGUUUGCCUUCUAAAACCGGGUGUGACAUAAGUGGUAUCAAAGCCGUGCUGACUGUAGGACCGCUAACCUAGAGUAGAAUGGUCGUUCUAAGGACUAUAGACCUCUGUCCCUUCCUUGACUUUGUCAUCCCUUCAAAAGUUGGUCAUACCGACCAAACCUAAGAAUUCGCUUAACGGCCACAAGGUGACAUUCCUUAGGGUCAGAUUGAAAUCUAGCACACAUGCAUACACUAAGCAUAAUGUCCGGUCUACUAGCACAAAGAUAAAGUAAUGAACCUAUCAUUGACCGGUAUGCCUUUUGAUCAACGGACUUACCUCCUCUGUUGAGGUCAACGUGCCCGUCAGUUCCCAUCGGUGUCUUAGCGGGCUUGGCGUCCUUCAUCCCAAACCUCUUGAGAAGAUCCUGAGUGUACUUCGUUUGGGAGAUGAAAGUGCCGUUCUUGAGUUGCUUCACUUGGAAUCCAAGGAAGUAGGUCAACUCACCCAUCAUUGACAUCUCAAACUUUUGCAUCAUUACCCUGCUAAACUCCUCACAAGACUUUUGAUUAGUAGAACCAAAUAUUAUGUCAUCGACAUAAAUUUGGCAAACAAAUAGAUCACCAUUGCAUGUCUUUGUGAAAAGAGUGGGAUCGACUUUCCCAACCUUGAAAACAUUAGGAAUAAGGAAAUCUCUAAGGCAUUCAUACCAUGCUCUUGGGGCUUGCUUAAGUCCAUAGAGCGCCUUAGAGAGCUUGUACACAUGGUCGGGAUAGGUGUCAUCCUCAAAGCCAGAUGGUUGUUCCACGUAUACCUCCUCCUUGAUUGGCCCAUUUAGGAAAGCGCUCUUCACGUCCAUUUGGAAUAGCCUAAAAGAAUGGUGAGCGGCAUAGGCUAACAAAAUUCGAAUUGACUCUAACCUAGCCACAGGAGCAAAAGUCUCCUCGAAAUCCAAACCUGCGACUUGGGAAUAACCUUUUGCCACAAGUCGAGCCUUGUUUCUUGUCACCACCCCGUGCUCGUCUUGCUUGUUGCGAAACACCCACUUGGUUCUCACAAUGUUUUGCUUUGGACAUUGCACCAGACUCCAGACUUCAUUUCUUUUGAAGUUGUUUAGCUCUUCCUGCAUGGCCAACACCCAGUCCGGAUCCUGCAAGGCUUCUUCUACCCUAAAAGGCUCAAUAGAAGAGACAAACGAGUAAUGCUCACAAAAAUUAGCUAAUCAUGAGCGAGUAGUUACUCCAUUGCUGAUGUCACCCAGAAUUUGAUCGACGUGGUGAUGUUUUUGGAUCGUCGCUCGGACUUGAGUUGGAGGGGCCCAUGGUGCUUCUUCCUCCAUCACUUGAUCUUCCUAUGCUCCCCCUUGAUCCUUCCCUUCUUCUUGAGGUACCUAUACAUCGUCUUGGGUUGGGGGAUGCACCAUUGUAGAGGAAGAGGGUUGAUCUUGUUCAUGUAGUUCUUGUGGUCGCACAUCGCCUAUCGCCAUCGUGCGCAUUGCGGCCGUCGGGACUUCAUCCUCAUCUAUGUCAUCAAGAUCAACUUGCUCUCUUGGAGAGCCAUUAGUCUCAUCAAAUACAACGUCGCUAGAGACUUCAACUAAUCCUGAUGAUUUUUUGAAGACCCUAUACGCCUUUGUAUUUGAGUCAUACCCUAGUAAAAACCCUUCUACAGCCUUGUGAGCAAAUUUAGAAUGUCUACCUUUCUUCACCAAAAUGUAGCAUUUGCUCCCAAAUACACGAAAGUAAGAGACAUUGGGUUUGUUACCGAUAAGGAGUUCAUAGGAGGUCUUCUUGAGGAGGCGAUGCAGAUAGAGCCAGUUUAUGGCGUGGCAGGACGUGUUCACAGCUUCCGACCAAAACCGCUCGGGCGUCUUGAACUCUUCAGGCAUCGUUCUCGCCAUGUCGAUUAGUGUCUUGUUCUUCCUCUCUACCACACCGUUUUGCUGUGGUGUGUAGGGAGCGGAGAACUCGUGCUUGAUGCCUUCCUCCUCAAGAAACUCUUCAACUUGUAGAUUCUUAAACUCGGACCUGUUGUUGCUCCUUAUCUUCUUUACGUUUAGCUCAAAUUCGUUUUGAGCUCUCCUCAAGAAGCACUUUAGGGUCCCUUGGGUUUCUGACUUAUCCUGCAAAAAGAACACCCAAGUGAAGCGGGAAAAGUCAUCAAAAAUUACAAGACCAUACUUACUUCCCCCGAUGUUGAGGUAGGCAACGGGUCCGAAGAGAUCCAUGUAAAGAAGCUCCAGUGGUCUUGAUGUCGUCAUCACAUUCUUGUUGUGAUGAGUGCUUCCCACCUGUUUCCCUGCCUGACAUGCUGCACAAGGUCUGUAUUUCUCAAAACAGACAUCGGAUAGUCCUAACACAUGAUCUCCCUUUAGAAGCUUAUGAAGGUUCUUCAUCCCAACAUGUGCUAGACGACGAUGCCACAACCAGCCCGUGUUAGUCUUAGCUAUCAAGCAUGCAUCUAGAUCGGCAUUCUCUUUUGAAAAAUCAACUAAAUAGAGCUUGCUGUCUAAUACACCCUUAAAAGCUAAUGAACCAUCACUUCUUCUAAAGACAGAAACAUCUACAUUUGUGAAUAAACAAUUAUAACCCAUGUUGCAUAAUUGACUCAUAGACAAUAAGUUGUACCUGAGCGAUUCAACUAAAAACACAUUGGAGAUAGAAUGCUCGGAUGUGAUGGCUAUCUUUCUAUCUUUCCCAAUCCUUUAACCUUGCCUUGGUUCCCAUCUCCAAAGAUAAUUGCAUCUUGGGAAUCCUUGUUUUUGACGUAGGAGGUGAACAUCCUCUUCUUCCCCGUCAUGUGGUUUGUGCAUCCGCUGUCGAUAAUCCAACUUGAGCCCCCGGAUGCAUAAACCUGCAAGGCAAUUUAAGCUUGGGUUUUAGGUACCCAACUCUUGUGGGUCCUGCAAGGUUAGUCACAAUAACUUUUGGAACCCAAAUACAAGGCUUGUCUCCCUUGCAUUUGGAUCCCAACUUUCUAGCAACUACUUUUGCAUUCUUACAUGGAAGUACAAAAUAAGUGUUGCAAGCAUGAUAAAUGGUAGAAGGUCCAUUGCACAUUCUCCUAGGCAAGUGAUUCACAACAUGAUUUCUCCUAGGCCUACUUCUACCAUGAACAAAAGUGGAGCUAGGUGCAACCAUAGCAUGUGAAUCAUAAUAAGCAGCAUGAUCAUAACAUCUAUCAUUAUAAGUAUUCCUAGAAUAUUUCCUAUCAUAAAUAUAGGCAUGAUUCUUUUGGGAACUACUAGCCAUAGGGGCAUUCCCUUUCUCCUUGCUGAGAACGGGAGCCCUUUGGCUUGUUAAGUUCUUGGUUUCCUUUUGAAAACCAAGUCCAUCCUUAAUCGAGGGGUGUCUACCAACAGUGUAGGCAUCCCUAGCAAAUUUUAAUUUAUCAAAAUCAACUUUGCAAGUCUUAAGUUGAGUAUUAAGACUUGCCACCUCAUCAUUUAAUUUAGCAAUAGAAAUAAGAUGUUCAUCACAGGCAUUAACAUCAAAAUCCUUACAUUAAUUACAAAUAGUAACAUGCUCUACACAUGAACUAGUUUUAUUAACUUCCUCUAGCUUGGCAUUCAAUUCAUCAUUUAAAUUCUUUAGACUAGAGAUAGAUUCCUGACAAGCAGACAACUCAGAGGAUAGCAUUUCAUUUCUUUUAAGUUCUAAAGCAAGAGAUUUUUGAACACUAACAAACUUGUCAUGUUCCUCAUACAAAAUGUCAUCUUGCUUUUCUAGCAGUCUAUCCUUUUCAUUUAGAGCGUCAAUUAAUUCAUUAAUUUUCUCUACUUUGGCUCUAUCUAACCCUUUAAACAAACCAGAGUAAUCUACUUCAUCAUCGGAAGAUUCCUCAUCGCUAGAAGAAGAGUAUUUGGGGGUAUCUUGAAUAUGUACCUUAUUCUCCUUAGCCAUAAGGCAAGUAUGGCAUUCGUUGGGGAAGAGCGAAGUCUUGUUGAAGUCCGAGGCAGCCAGUCCUUCAUCGUCGGAGUCGGAUGAAGAGCAGUCAGAAUCCCAUUCCUUUCCCAGAUGAGCCUCGCCCUUCGCCUUCCUGUAAUUCUUUUUCUUUUCCCUCUUCCCGCUCUUUUCUUGUCCCUGGUCGUUAUCAUUAUCGGGGCAUUGUGCUAUAAAAUGACCAGUCUUACCGUAUUUGAAGCAAGAGGCUUUCCCUUUGUCUUAUUAUUGUUGGGGUACUCCUUGCGUCCUUUUAGCGCGGUCUUGAAGCGCUUGAUGAUAAGCGCCAUUUCGUCCUCGUUGAGUCCAGCAGCCUCCACUUGUGCUACCUUGCUUGGUAGUGCCUCCCUGCUGCUUGUUGCUUUGAGAGCAACGGGCUGUGGCUCGUAGACAGGUAGUGGACCAUUUAGCGUGUCGUCUACGUAUCGUGCUUCCUUCACCAUCAUGCGCCCGCUCACAAAUUUUCCAAGGAUCUUUUCGGGCGUCAUCUUGGUGUACCUGGGGUUUUCACGAAUAAGAUUGACAAGAUGGGGGGUCAAUAACAGUAAAUGACCUGAGCAUGAGUCGGACGACAUCAUGAUCCGUCCAUCUUGUGCUUUCGUAGCUUCGGAUCUUGUUGACCAGGGUCUUAAGCCUGUUGUAGGUCUGAGUUGGCUCCUCUACCCUGAUCAUCACGAACCUCCCCAGCUCGCCUUCCACUAUCUCCAUCUUGGUGAUCAUAGUGGCGUCGUUUCCCUCAUGAGAUAUCUUAAGGGUGUCCCAGAUCUGCUUAGGAUUGUCCAAACUGCUAACCUUGUUGUAUUCAUCCCUGCACAGAGAUGCUAGCAAAACAGUAGUGACUUGGGCAUUUUUAUGGAUUUGCUCAUUGAUAAACACAGGAUUAUCGUACUAUAAAAAUGCAUCCCAUUUUCUACAAUUUCCCAUAUACUAGGAUGAAGAGAGAAUAAAUGACUACGCAUUUUAUGGCUCCAAAAUGAAUAGUCCUCUCCAUCAAAGUGUGGAGGUUUUCCAAGGGGAAUUGAUAGUAAAUGCGCAUUUGAAUUGUAGGGAAUGCGAGAAUAAUCAAAAGAAUAAUUUUGAUUGACCGUCUUUUUCUUUGACGAGGAGUCGUCAUCGUUGUCCCUUGGUGAAGAAGAAGAUGCAUCGCUGUCGUAGUAGAUGAUCUUCUUGAUGCGUCUCUUCUUCUUCCUGUCCCUCUUCUUGUGACUCGAUCUUGAGUCAGUGGACUUGUCGUCUCUUGGCUCGUUGAAGAGGGACUCCUCCUUGUCGUUGACCAUCAUCCCCUUUCCCUUAGGAUCCUUCUCUUCGGGCGGUUAAUCCCUUAGAUGAAGAGUAUGACUCUGAUACCAAUUGAGAGCACCUAGAGAGGGGAUGAAUAAGUGAUCUUGUAAAAUCAAAUACUAAAUAGCCACAAACUUGAUUAUUAAGAUGUUAGUAAAAUCAAGUGGCUAUGGAACACGCUCGUGCGGACAAAACAAUCACAAGAAGCAACACACGAGACACGUGAUUUUUAUCCCGUGGUUCGGCCAAGUAACGCUUGCCUUCUUCCACGUUGUGGCGUCCCAAUGGACGAGGGUUGUACUCAACCCCUUUCAAGCGAUCCAAUGAUCAACUUGAAUACCACGACUUUAUUCCUUAUAGUCUUUCUCCCGUUUGCGAGGAAUAUCCACAGAUUGGAGCCUCUCGCCCUUACAAGUUUGUAACAAGAGAAGCACAGUAGUAUGAGAGGGAGAGCAACACACGCAAGACUCAAAUCCGCAGCACACACACGCACGCAAGCCAAGACUUGAGCUCAAAACACCGCACGGGGAGUACGCAACUCAAACGGAGCUCAAAUCACUAACACAGUCGAUCAAAUGCGUGGAGGCGAAGUCUGGAGUCUUAGAAUGUUUCUUGUAAGCUUAGUGUAUUGCUCCAUGCGCAUAGGGGUCCCUUUUAUAGCCCCAAGACAGCUAGGAGCCGUUGGAGACCAACUUGGAAGGCCAAUCUUGCCUUCUGUCGAGUGGUGACAGUCUGGUACACCACUGGACAGCCACUGUAGCAGUCCGAUGCGCAAUCUCCUUCCAAAUCGGGCGCAGCCGACCGUUGGUCCUUCGGGCCAGAUGGCGCACCGGACAGUCCGGUGCACCCAGCCAACCGUUGGAGCUGGCCACGUGUCGCGCGGUGAUCGCGCGGUCGACCGUUUGCCGCAGGCGCCGUUGGCUCACUGGACAGUCUGGUGCACCACCGGACAGUCCAGUGAAUUUUAGCCACGACGCCUUUUUCUUUUUCCGAGAGCGACGAGUUCGUCACGGAUGACUCACCGGACAGACCAGUGAAUUUUAGACGUACAACUCCGUCGUUUCCCGAGAGCAGCUUCGCCGGCUAGCCUGGGGCACCGGACACUGUCCGGUGCACCACCGGACAGUCCGGUGUGCCAGGCCGAGCUGGAGUUUGGUGUACAUAGCCAACUCUUCUUCAAUUGCAAUCUCCUUUUCUUGGCACUGUUUCUAGCACUUAGAUAAACAUGUUAGUAUUCAAAAACCAAUUUACUAAGUCUAGAAGCAUACCUUGUUAUAUGAUUUGCACUUCUCACUUAUUUAGCACAUAAGAACUUAAUCAACCGUGUUGGACAUUUAAUCACCAAAAUAUUAUAGAAAUAGCCAAGGGCACAUUUUCCUUUCAGACCAUGUUCGGUUACUAGUGGUUUGAGAGGGAUUGAAGGGGAUUAAAUCUCCUCCUAUUUAAUUUUGAAUAGGAGGGGAUUUAAUCUUCUUCAAUCCCCUCUAGUCCCCUAGCAACCGAACAAGCCCUCAACGAGCAAGACCUUUUUCUUGUCGAUUGUGGACUAAAGAAAGACAGUCAAUCAAGAGUUGUCCCACAAUGAUAAAGUUCUCGGGAUGUUGCUGAGAUUGUUCAUUGAUUAAGUCUUUUGUAGUUUAAUUUUUUAUUUGUGAUCGUAAUGAUAUUAAAAGAUAAUAUGAAUUAUGAUGUUUCAACAACAUAAUAAUCACGUAUAAAGGUGUGUCACUAUAUAAAAAUAUCUUAUUAUUGUAAGAUGUCUAGUUUUAAAUUUUUAUAUUUAAUAUUAUUAAAAAUGCUAAAAACUAAUAUAAAGUUUCGUCAAUAUAUUAAUAUAUCAGCGUAUAAAAUAAUAUCUUUCAUAGAUAAAUAAAUAUAGUUUUAAUAUUAAAAGUUUAGUUAUCAAUGUGGUCUACAACUUUUUUGUUUCUAAUUUUUUUGUUUGAGAUAAUUAAGAUGUACAAAAAAUAAUAUAAAUUUAAGAGAGCGUAUUAAACUUUUACCAUGAUUUAUCCUUUUAUAAAUAUCUUAUCGACACAUACACAUUUCAUAUAAAAGAUAUUUUUAUCCAACAAUAUAUUACAAGGAUAUGUUUUUUUUUUAAAACAAUUGCACUGUUGCGCGGCUAAUAUGUUCCUUAUAAUUUAUAUUAUUUUCUUAAACAUCUUAAUGGUCUAAAAUAAAAAAACUAAAAAUAGUUAAUAGCUACAAUUUUAAUAUAAACAUAAUCUUUAUUUGAUAUCUUACAAGAAUAAAAUAACAUUUUUAAGACGGCAAGCCACAUUUCGUGAUUAAUACGUCGACAAAACUUUAUAUUAUUUUUUAAAUCUUAGAGACCAUAAGUGUAAAAAUUAGAAAUUGAAGUUGCAGAUUUUAUUGAGGGAUAUAACUUUUAUUUAACAUCAUACAAUAAAGAUAAUAUUUUUAAGGCGACAAACGUAUAUAUACUAUUGUUAUGCUACUAAAAAUUCAUAUUAGUUUUUAGUAUUUAAAUGACCUUAACUGAAAAUACUUAAAACUAGAAAGAAAAAAGUUGUAGAUCUCAUAGAGCUCUUCAAUUUUUAUAUAAAAUCACAUUCAAUCGUCGCCGUAUGAAAUGUAUAACUUUUCUAAGGUUGGCCCUGACAACACCACUCUCGUUAACGAAACAACACUCAAGUUGACGUGACAAAAAGCAUAAGUUUGCUAUACGAAAAUUAUCAUCUAACAUGGCAGCUCUUGCCACGGCAACGUAUAUUGUGUGACAAGAUAAUAUUGUCACGUCAAGUGUGUUGGCACGACUAAAAUGAUUAAAAGUAAAAUAAAAAAUAAGUGAGGCUAUUUUUAAAAUAAAAUUUUUUUAAAAAAUUAGAAGUUAAAAAUAUUGCGGACAGGGGUCAAAAUAUGUGUCAUACGGUCCAUACCCACACUCAUGCUGAAGCCAGUAAAACAGAUAGUGAAAAUCACGGCCCAUACCCACACUCAUGCUGAAGCCAGUAAAACACAUAGUGAAAAUCUAGCAAAAGGCAGAGAAAUCGAGCUAGUAUUGCGCGUGCUCCAUUUGGUCUCUAGCAAAUAUAUUGCACGUGUAGUUCGUUGUACGGUGCCUCUAUUAACUUUUCUUUUCCACGUUUACCUCAGUUCCUUUCUUUAGGCAUGGGGUGCAACCGAGCUGUGACCUUGCAAACGCAAAAGGAGUGCGUUUAAACCGAACUGACAGCAUGUUACAUACACCAAAAUUGGAGUUCCCAGACAAGAGGAACGACAGUAUAAAAACCUUUGCCCCCUCCGACAGACUUCUUCAUCAGUCCACGAGCAAGCCAUCUUCUUCUUCUUCUUCCCCGACCUUCUCCCUUAAGGCCUCAACCAAGCAAAGGUUUGAUUUUACAUACCAGAGUAACGGACCCAGCGCCAGCUGGAACAACGACCAGAGACUCCGGCAUCCAGUCGACCAACGUACAAUGGGUUUCAUCCAAGGAAGGACCUCCAAGCAGACGAGCAGGGUUAAGACCCUUCUACGGCUCGCCUUGUCCCGCCUUGCCGCUGCCCGCCGUCCCCGCCUCGCUCGCAAGUCGAUUUCCCGCAGCGAUGUUGGACAGCUACUAGCACUCGGACACAUUGAUCGUGCUCUCCACCGUGUACGACCCCACCCUAACAUCGUCUAUUCGUCUCUAACCUCCCGGCCCGUCAAAUGGAGCUUCGUAUAGUCUGGCUUACCAAUGCUGCACCGUCUCUAUUAUUUCCAUGCAGGCAGAGCAGCUCAUAGAGGAGGACAACAUGCUGGAGGCGUUCAACAUAAUAGAGCUACACUGCAAUCGCCUCAUUGAGUGCGCAAAGCAGCUAGACAAGCCCCAGUACGCAUCUUUCUCUACACCCUCACAUCUGAGUUCAUCUUGUUCUCCCAUUUUGGCACUGUUGUUUGACACCACUUUUUUUUCCUUCUGCUUGCGUGACUAUUCUGUUCAAAUCUAAUCUGGUGUGCAGUGAAUGCGGUGAUGACAUUCGGGAGGCAGCCGCCGGGAUCAUGUUUGCAGCUAGGAGGUGCGGCGACCUGCCGGAGCUGACGUUUGCACGAACCAUACUGACAAACAAGUUUGGAGGCGAGUUCGCAGAGAUGGCUAAGGAGGGCGCUGGCGUCGUCGACCCCAUGGUAACUAGAACAACAUCCUAUGUUCAUUCAUGGCCCCAUCACAUCCAUACCAGAAACGGCGAGAGCUGGAAUUUACACGG
RNAcentral lists this long non-coding RNA (68120 nucleotides) under Zea mays. RNAcentral describes it as "long non-coding RNA (ZMAY_LNC005646)". Lineage: Eukaryota; Viridiplantae; Streptophyta; Magnoliopsida; Poales; Poaceae. The record is from RNAcentral.